This 87634-nucleotide long non-coding RNA is filed under the name Brassica napus (rape). RNAcentral describes it as "long non-coding RNA (BNAP_LNC022021)". Lineage: Eukaryota; Viridiplantae; Streptophyta; Magnoliopsida; Brassicales; Brassicaceae. The record is from RNAcentral.
UAGGGCAAAUCUCCUAAAUAGCACAUUUAUAAGUUUAUAUCACAAAAAUAGCAUUCCAAAACUAAAAUGACCAAAAUAGCACUUUAUCCCCAAAAUUUUUAAUUUUUUUAUUUUUCAAAAUUUGAAAUCUUAUCCCCAAAACCUCAUUUUCAACUCUAAACCCUAAACCUUAAACUCUAAACCCUAAACCUUCAACUCUAAACCAUAAACCCUAAACCCUAAACUCUAAACCCUAAACCCUAAACUCUAAACCCUAAACCCUAAACCCUAAAUCCUAAAUCCUAUACUCCACCCUUUAACUCUAAACCCUAAGUUUGUGACUUUUGAUAAAACAUUAAGUGCUAUUUUUGUGACUUUUGACAUUGAGUGCUAGUUUGGGAACAAAAACUUGAUUUAGUGCUAUUUUUGUCUUUUUCUCUUUAUAAUACUAGGUUAAUAUAAAAUCUUGCCAGAACACUACAUACACUUAUCUAAAAGCUGUGAAACUUCAAGAAUUAUCAUUAAUUAGAAUCAUGGUGAAACUUCGAUCUCAACCGCAAAAAUGAUACAGUUUGGGCACCAUUCUUAUGAUGGAGCUAUGGGUACCUGGUUAGCUACCAGAUAAAGGUCGAUUAGGUUUUUGUAGUGUCUUUUUUAUAAAGUCUAAAACUUCAGUGCCAAUGUCACAUUAAUUCAUUGUAAAAAAGGUGUUUUGUUUGAAUAAAUUUAACAUUUUUUCAGAAAAAAAAAAGUAAGACUUUGUAGUAGUAAUAUUAGAAAUGUAAGACCUUGGCUAGGCCUGUUUUCUUUGUUUCUCAUGACUUUCAAUUUGAAGAGAAGUUUCAAAAAAUAAAUAUUAGAAAUGAGUUAUCAUAUGUUUAGACUGUUGAUCAACUUUUUUUUGGAGAUAUGUUGCAUAAACUAAGGGGCGUAUGCGAAUAUUAAAAAAUAAAUGCAAGUAAAGUAAUUAUGUUACGAGUUCAUGUAAUUAUUUGAAUCAACAAUAAUUUAUUUUAUAUAGAUUGCAUUGACUAAGAAGUAAGAAGUAGAUAAAAAGUUAUGGCUCAUAAUGUUGUAAGCAAUGUUUUUAAAACCGGACCAAUUCAACAAGUCAAACCGAAUUUUCUAUGUCUAUAAAAUUAUAUAUAUAUAUAUAUGUAUAAUAAAAUAUUUAAACUAUAUGGACUUUAAAAAUAGUUCUACAUGUGAUAUGUUCCUUAUUUUCUUUUAUAAACUAGCAAAAUAAAAGAAAGAAGCAUAAAUUUAGCUAUAUACAAUAAACAAGUACUAAGUAAACUGAAAUUGAUAAAAUAACCGUUCAAAUUAUCAUAUUUAUUUAUUCUUACAAUUAAAGUUUCAAAUUUUAUGAAUAUGACAAAAUGAGAAUAGUAAAUGAAGGCGAACAUAAAUUAUUUUUUACAUUUUUCUUGAAAAAUAGAAUUAAAUAGGAAAAUCAAUUCAAUAGAGAUAGUCUAAUAUCUGAAACAUUAAUUUUUAACAAUUGAAAAUACAUUAAUUAUGUGUUAAUUUUUUGGAAUAGGAUUUUGAAAUUGACCCGGAUCGCCGGUUUCACCGGUUUUUCUUAAAUCCAGGUUUUAAAUUGAACCAGAUUCGGCCUUUUCAACGAAUCACAGUCUUACCGGUUCGACCGAACGGUCCAUUCCGAUUUUCAAAACACUGGUUUUAAGAUAUUAAUAAGUUUCUGUAGAACUUAGAAAUACAUUUAUUUUAUAAUCAAAUAUACUAAUUGUUUCCUUAAUUUUUUUUGUUCAAAUUGUUUCAAUACUAAUUGUUUCAGCCCUUAAUUUAACUCUAACUAAUAGGGAGAAAAUACAAAAAUCUUGUAUUGGAAAGUACAAAACAUCUAUCUUAAUGAACUUUUCUGUAUAUAACAUCUUAACUGAAACGGAAUAAGUAAAAGAUAAACAACAUAAAGGAUUUUUCUUAAACAGAUAUACCACAUAUAGUAUAACAACUAGGUUAAGCCCCGCGCCUUGCGCGGAAUGAACAUUAUAUAUAUAAAUUAUUUUAUAUAUUAUAUGUUUAUAACAUAUUAUGAAAUAAUAAAUAUAUAUUGAAUAAUUAAAAAGUCAUUAUCUACUACUUAUAUAAUUAAAUUAGUGCGGACAUAUAAAUAAAUUUUAUAAAUCGAAAAAAUAUUUUUUCUAUUUGAUAUGAUGUAUAAUUAAAUUUAAAUGAUAGUAACAUACAUAUGGUAUAUUUUAAUAUUAAUAUUUAUUGGAUGAUGUUUUUUGCUCAUAUUUGUUUUUUAUCAUUUGUAUCUGUUAUAGAAAAAAGUCUAAAUUAGUGAUAACAAAAUUUUCACUGUGGUCGUAGAUCACAAAAUUUGAAUGUGAAAUUUUUAACAGUUUUAGUAAUUUAUACUCGUUUUUAAAAAUUCAAAAUAUAAUAUAUAAAUAAUUUUUAAAAUUUUUAUUAUAUGGUUACUAUGAUUGUAUAAUUAUUUUAAUAGCUUAAAAUUAAACAAAUAUAAUUAUAAUACACACUUAUUUUUAUCAAAUCUUUAUUAUUCAAAAUCAUUAAUUGUCAUAUAUACUUUAGCCACAUUAGGCAAUUCCGUAAUCUUAUUUAAGGAAAUAAUGAAGCACAUUAAUAUUGUAUUUAUUGUGGUUUAAUAAAAAGCUUAUUAUAUAUUUAGAUGGACCAACCUAUUUCUCUAAUGAUUCUAAAGUGAUGACACGUGGCUACAAAAAAAUGUUGCAAUGCUUCUCAAAUAAUAUGUAAGGGAUAAGUUUCGAAGCUAAUAAACAUGGAAUAAGAUACAUUUAUAGAAAUUCAGUACAAAAUGAUAAAGUCCAAGGACCUGGUUCUCUCGUGUAAAGGGUUACAAGACUUCUAUAUAUAUCUAAGAUCAAACUUCUUUUGGCACAAAUGAUAUAAUCUAUUAAAACAAUAAAGAAAUCGAAAACACUAACCUUGCUUGCAUGAUCUAAACGUGUGAAGAAACAUGAUUCGAUCUUUUGAACUUUUAGUAUAACAUGAUUGAGAUUGUUGAUAUUUUUCAAAGAAUUUUUUUGCAGGUUUUGAAGCGAAAAUAUCGUCUCUUAGACUUUCUAUUUCUUAUUAUUAUAUGAUAAAUAGUGAGUGGUUUAGACAAGGUGUGCCAUUGUCCUUAUAUUGUAAUUAUAUGAUUUGGUGGUAUGUGUGUAGUGACUCUCUCUUAUUUUGUGGUGUUUUGCCAUUUGGGUAAAUGGAAAAAUGAAGAUGAGUGUUUGAAAAUCAUAAAGGAUCUCUAUUAACGUUAAUACUCUUUUUUUUUUGUAAAAGAUUAACGUUAAUACUCGGAAAAGAAAAUUCGCAACAAAGGUUGUUUGCGUGCCAAGUAAUACAAUCAAGGCUAGACGCCUAGACACCACGAAUAGGGUCGUAAUACUAUCUACUGAAGCGACGACGUUACUUACAUAACAUGACACAACACAGCACACAAGAAAAAUCCAUUUUCUUGUCUGGUCAUAGACAACUGUUGGACUGUUGGGCUGUUAACAUGAAUCUCUCAGCAUGUAUCGGUACGAUUCAACACAACGUUCUUGUUAACCAACCUUUGUAUCUCCCUCUCAAGCGAUCUUAAGAACUUGUUUCCCAACGUUUUGUCCACGGAAGAGUCCAACAAGAGCAGCAGGACCAUUCUCUAGUCCUUCAACAAUAUCUUCAACAUAUACCAACUUCCUUUCAUUUAUAUCCGGAAGCACAAACUCCAAGUACUUAGGGAAUCUGUCAAUGAAGUCAAAAGCAAGAAACCCUUGCAUCUUGAUCCUCUUGUAGACAACAACCGGUAGAUUUUGUAUACCUUCUUCGGUUUCAGUAUGGUACUGAGAUAUCAUACCGCAUACAGCGAUGCGUUCAUGUGCUUUCAUGUUCAUUAGCACCGAGUCAAGCAUUUUUCCUCCCACGUUCUCAAAGUAUAUGUCAAUACCUUGUGGUAAACACCUGAAAAAAACAGAGGAAAUGUAAUUCUAUGCCUCAAGAAACAGCAUUAUAAUUUGACCAGUGACCAAACCUCUUUAAAGCGGCAUCAAGGUCAGGUUCUUCCUUGUAAUUAAAUGCAUCGUCGAAUCCAAAUUUGUUUAGCAAGAGAUCGACCUUUAACGGAACCAAACAAUGUAAGAAAAAGUAAAAAUUUAAAAGUCUCUUGAUAGAUAAGUUUUAUAAUAAAAAGGGCUCAUUAACCUUUUGCUUACUUCCGGCACUUCCAACAACAUAACAUCCCAUCAACUUAGCAAACUGACCCACGAGCUGACCAACCGCACCAGCAGCCGCAGAGACAAAGACUGCCUCUCCUUUUUUAGGCGAACAUAUCUCAAAAAAGCCGGCAUAAGCAGUCAAGCCUGUCACACCUGAUAUGUAAAAACAUAGUUUUCAAAAUAGAAACUCUCCAAAAUAGCAUUUUUUUUUAACUUUUUAUUCUAAAAAUAUAUCCAAUAAUAAAAGUUUUUAAAUAGCAACUAAAUUACGUUAACCUAUAAACUCUAGUCUCAUCCCGCUCCUAAACCAUAAUCUCUAGUUUUGUGUAUGAUAAUUUUGUUAUAAAAACAUAAAUUACUGCUAUUUUUGAACGUAUUUUUCUUUUCAGAAAUAUCAUGACAUUAUGCUCUUUUAUAGUUUUUGCAUUCCAGUGAAAAGAGGAUAUACUCACUUAGUAUUCCAGUGUAGUAAGAGAGAGGAACAUUGAUACUGAUAUCGAUUUUGAAUCUAACUAUACUCUUCCCAAUCAACGAUUCCCCAAACAAAAUCUCCUUUUGCAAAACAUGGAUCAUCAGAAUCUAUCACCUCAGAUACUCCAACUCCAGCUAUGGGCUGCACAAAAGCAUAUAUUGACAAAAAUUGCUAACUCAAGCCAUGUGUUUUUUUGUGUGUGUAAUGUUGUUACCUUCCCAGGGAUGAAAGCAUCCAAAAGUGAUAAAGUUUCCACCGCAACCUCUGAUGAUCCGGAGUCUGAUUCUCUCAUGAAAGUCCCCAUGUAAGGAUCACAAGACAAGAAAAGAUUCUUCAGAAGAAUUGUCGAUGAUCCGGGCUUAACCUUCAGUUCCAUAGUGUCUGGAGCUGUAACUAUCAUUAGAUCAGAUUCUUCAGGGAAGCCAUUUACGUAAUGCUUAAGUAUGACUUGCUUGUUCCUUACGGUAGUCUCCAUUUUCUUCAGUUUCACUCCAUUUUAUGGUAAAAGAGAAUCCCUUCUAUGAUGAUGGCAAGCGGGACUUGACACAUAUUUCAAUAUAGGCCACUGGAUACUCUGACUGUGGAGUUAAAGAACCUCGCCAGUUUUGGUUACACCUGGAAAUGGAAUUCAGGUGGCAUUAAGAUUCGUGUCACACCUUGUGAGCUGUGAUAUAUACAUACAAAUAUCAGAUAAUAUAAAAUAUUGCAAAAGCAUUACAUUCAUUUAUCUCCGUUUAGCAAUAUAGGGAAAAUUAUAAGAUAGACUUGCAUUGUUUUGAUAAUUAAAACUUUUGAAUCAUUUAUCAUUAGUGCGUGAUCUCUUGACUUUGCAUAAUCGUGCCAGUUUUAUCCUCGGAAUGACCGUUUAGAAAACGUUUUUGAUUGUUUUUUUUUUUGUUGCUAAAAACGUUUUUUGAUUAUUUAAUUUUGAUCAAUUAAAUAUGUAAUCUUCUUUAUAAUGAGGCUUGCAUGCCGCCCUAUAAGCUGAAGAGUACCUGUCUAACGCCAAUAGCAGUGGUAGAGACUAGGGAGAGUAUCUUAAGAAGCAGAGACAGACAGGUAUAUCGUUCCCAAAGGGAAGUUACCUGUGACAAUAGUAGAGCAUCCUCCUUCAGGGAGAACUCAACGGAUGAUAAGAGAUAAGUGAGCUCUUAAUUAAUUAACGAUUUAAACUCUUCAACUUUUGUUGUGUACUUGCAAGAAAAUAACUUGGAAUGCAUUAAUGGAGUAUAUUGCUGUUUUCUAGUGUUAAGACAUGCUUUCAUAAAAAAAUACACUAAUCCUGGAAACUUUUUUUUAUCUAUAAAGAGAUUCAAUACUUCAAAAAAGUUUUCGCUAGUCCAAAUUUUUUUCUACACUUUUGGUUAAUUAUGAUAUUAAUUUCUUAAGAUUCAAAAUUCAUAUUUUCUGGUAUAGAAAUACAAAUGAACUCUUAGCUAAACAACUGAAUCAAAGAGUUCUCACACAAAAAUAAGGUCCAAUUUUUUUCGUACCGUUUUCUAUUAAUAAGAAUGAGUUGAUACAAAACGAAACAAUUAAAAGACAACGCAACAAAGGUUGUUCUUCGUGCCAAGCAAUACAACAAGGCUAGACCCAAGAUCUAUUUGGCCGAUAAAUUAGCCAUUAGCCACGUUCCAAACCACCACGAAUAGGGUCGUAAAACUAUAUAUAGAAGCGACGACGUUACUUACAUGUCACGACACAAGACAAAUAUAAAUAUUAUUUUGUCUGGUCAUAGACAACUGUUGGGCUGUUGAAACCCAGCCUCAGUCCCUCCUGCAUGGCUACAAUCUGCCAUUGCCGGUUUAUUCUGGUAUGUUAGCUUCACGUCUUGAAGUCUGAUUCCGGUACACGGCUUCUUAGAGCUACAAUCAAAUUUCACUCCAACUUGUGUUGCCGAUGUCCCGUGGAUGUCGAAGAACAUUACAUCGCUGAUUUUUAUUCCAGAAACCUAUUAUCAUCAUAAUCAUAUAUUCAUAUUCGAACUAAAAAAAUAUUUCUAUAUAUGAUGUUUGAUUUAAUUAGAAAGUGAAAAAAAUGUUGAACCUGGUUAGGGCAGUUUUCGUUGCCAGGACAGUAGUUUUGGUCAAUGACUAUUGGGUUCUGUACGUUGUUCAUAACGCAACGCUGGAAACGGAUGUUCUUAGCGAAUCCAUUACUGGGCCUGGCCCAUGACUUUAUUCUCACCCCAUUCUCUGUUCCUGUAAACGUAGCCGUUUUUACUGUUACGUUCUGUACACCUGCCUCUACACUUUCUUUUCCCAAGCUCCCAAUGCUGGUUUAUAAUAAAGACAAUUGUCAAAAAGAAAAUUAAUUCAACAGAAAUGAAUAAAAUAGUUCAAAUGUAGUAAAAAAUAAUUCAAAUAAUUUUUUGAUAAAUUGAAAAGAUUAUAAAAUGAACUAAUCCAACAUAAGAUAAACUCAAUGAACUAUUGAGAAACCCAUGAGAAUGAAAACUAAUCAGAUGAAUUUAUGUUUGUGUUGAUCUCUAUACUUUCGUAAACUAUAUCAAACCUAUAAAGAUUAUUUCGUGUAUAAUUUAUCAACCAGCCAAAAACUUAUAUUCGAAAAUGUAAACUUUGACAGUUUUCAUGCAUGAUGAAGUUACAAGUAAUUUGAUUAGUAAAAAUAAAAUACCUGAUACCAUGGCCAGGGCCACAAGCAACGUUUUCGAUCCAGAGGCCAUUAGUUCCAGGACCGAUGGAUACACAAUCAUCGCCGGUGGAUAUUUUUGAGUUGAGGAUGGAGACGGUGGAGGAUGAUUGGACGUGGAUGCCGUCAGUAUUUGGACUGUUUCCAUCAGCAGAAACUUUGACUCCUUGUAUAUUUACGUUACGGCAGCCGUUAAUCACGACGUGAAACAUCUGACUGUUGAGUGACGUUAGCCCUGAGAUCACCACGUUGCUUGAGCUCUGAAACCCUAUGCUCUGUUUGUAAUUGUUGCCCAUAUGUAAGUGUCAAUUACAUUAUUUUAAAACAUUUUAUUACAUUUAUUUUUUGCUAAAAAGUUUAUCAUCAUUUAUAUAUUUGUUUAUAUAUACACAUCAAUGACUCUAUGAUUGGUACAUGUGAAAUGGGAUUGCUAACGUAACGGAUACCAUCUAUAGAUUUAUAGUAACCCACACAUUAUUUCAUAGUCCAAAAAACAUGUAACUUAAGCUUGUAAUUUAUGUUAGCCGGGAAAUAGAGAGAAAAUUAGGGAAAAUGCAUCAUUUCGAUCGUGUAUGAGGAAUUUGCGGACUUGCAAAUUGCAAUAUUCAAUGUAAAAAAUACUAUUUAAAAUGUUACUAAUGUUAAUGCAUUAACUAGUGGGACAUACACAUGAUUGGAUUUCAUAAGUUUACCUCUUUUUUAUUGUUUUGAAAUAAUUUUUAUUCACUUUGCUGAUCAGUACUUAAAUGAUAACAAAAACAAACAGUUCAGUUUUGAGAUUAUUACAUCUGAUCAUUUGUCAGACAUUUUAAUUCUAAACUGUAUUAGAUGUCUAUAUUUGCCAAUGACAAUAUAUGUGUAUAAUAGUAACGUACCGUAGCACCACUAGGGCAAUUCUGGCCGGACUUCUUGCAAGACCAUAGAGAAGCUCCCUGAGCGUCAAGAACUCCACCGUAGACGGAGAGGCCGUCGAGAUGCUGGAAGAAAAUCCAGUAGUUUCCGUUACCAAUGACUCUAUAAUCCGACGGAGCCACAAGUGUACCUUGGAUACGGAACGUGACUGACUUGCGUUUACACUUGGCUCCAUCAAAUACAAUGCUUCUUAAUAAAAACCGUCCCUUAGGGAUAGAUAUGGUGACCGGCUUGACUGAGGCGCAGGCUUUGGCCCACACAGCGGUUAAGGCCUUGGUAGAGUCGGUUUUACCGUCCGGUUUGGCUCCGUAAGAUAGAAUGUUGUAGGUCUGAGCUGAGGACAAUGAGAUUGAGAGAAGUAAGAGGAGAAUUAUGAGAACUGGAGAAGACAUUGUUUUGAGAGAGAAGUUGAAUAAUAGAGGUGGGGGUGUGUGGAUUUGAAACGGUUUAGUGGAGGGUUUAUAUAGUCUUGGCGUGUUAUGAGAUAUUUAUUUUUAAUUCGAAUAUAUAUGUAUUAAUUAGUGGCCUGGAUAUAUACAUAUAUAUAUAUAUAUAUUUCUUGUUGUAUUUGGUAUAUCAUCACACGAGAGAUUGGAAUUUAUUUCUUUCGUCAACGCAACUGAGAACAUUUUUUGUCAAAUAUCAGAAUAUUACAAGUGGUAAGUUUUAGUUAUUUCAAGUUUUUGUCUGUUUAAAUCGUUUAUCAUGAUAUAAGUAAUGUACUGGAAAUUAGAUGUUGUAACUUCUAGAUGAAUGUUGCUAAAAAAAAUCAUGAUCAUAUGGUCAUUUAAUUUAUAAGAUGGUAUACUUUUUUAUCAAAAGAAAAAUGAUGGUUGAUUUCAUAAAAUGAAUUUCAUGUACGGGCAAAGACGAUAUUGUCUAUACUAUACGUUUGUGUUCAUUUUCAUUUCAUAAAAUGCUUAUUAGAACCUAAAAAUGUUGGUUACGAGAAUGUUCAUACAUAAACUUAAUAAUUCUGUUGUAUUCAGAUUGGAUAACUGUAAAAGCAAGUGGAAUGGUCAGGGAAGUGUCAGUGCAUGUUGAUGGUAGGGGACAUAAUAUCAAUGCAUGUGACGACUCAGACGGGCAAGUAACCGAUUUUGCUUUAAUUAUCUUUAAAAUAAUCAAUAAAACGUUACACGAUCCUCAUUAUUCAAAAUCAAUGAAAGGAAUGUAUGGAUCCAUGCAUAUUAGUAUACUGUAUUAUGUAUAUUAGUGAAUUAAGGAAAAAAAUAAUGUACGGGUCAUACGGAGCCAAACAUAUGAGUGGGAAACGUGACAAGUGGAGGAGAAACCGGAGAAGAAACUGGCCAAUGAUAUCGUAAGGAUUUUCGAGGGGAUGCUAAUCACAUGCACGUCAACAUGUCAGAAAUAAUGUGAUGUUUGUUAAACACAACACAUUUAUUGCCUCAUGCCGUAUUAUUAGGAUCAAGAAAGUUAAGAAUAUUAUAUCGGAUUAAACCAUAAGAAGAAACAAGCAUGUCGCAUGUUCUAUAAUAGCCCUGUUCGUUUGGUUGCCGCAGGUUUCGGCGGCAGCGGCGGCGACAGCGUCAGCGGCGGAGAUCCCAAAUAUCUCUCCAUCUUAUUUGGCGUUCCGCAAAUAACUAUUAAUGUAAAUCUUAGGUAAUGAUCAACUUUCGUGAUUACUAUAGUGAUAUGUUUCCCCAAGGCUUACGAAAAUUAUAUUGUAUCAAUCAUGCUAAACUUUGUAAGCGGUAAGCCUAUCAUGAUCAGCAAUUCAUGUUUUCAAGUAUUUUCAGUGAUAUUCCUCUUAGUUAUAAACAAAAAUUUGAAUGAUAUAUUGCAUUAUGGUGUGAAAACAAAUCUCUCACACUCAUUGGUAUGAACUUUGGCUUAGUUACUUAUCCUAUUGCGGCUUAGUUUUUUUACUUAAUCCGAUAUUCUAAACUCUGACCCUAAUUUUUAAUCUAAACUCUGACCCUAAUUUUUUUAACAUAGGUAGAUUUGGCUAAGUUUUUAGUACAGUGGCGCAAAAGAAGCUCCUACGUACGUAGACACACACUAUACAUGCACAUUAUAUACAAUACACACAUCCAGUAUUAUAUAUAAUGAAAGUUGAAGGGCCAGAUAUGCAAUUAUUCUAAAACCCACCAUUGGAGGUUACGACUUUCUUCCGACAGAUCUCUUUGACGACGGCGACGGCGACGACGAGCUUCCACGGUGGAUUGCGUGGAGGAGAUCUCCGAUUUGGAGCCGUGACGAAGACUUGACGACAAUAGUGGUAUAGCAGAGGUUGGUCGUGACGAAGCUUGAAGCGAAGACCUCCACGAGCGCCAACGGCGAUGGCUGGUUCCGGCGACGUGACGGCGGAGGCUGAGAGCACGAUGGAGAGCUCACCACGGCGAGGACGAGCACGACUGCGGAGACUGGCACCGGAGGCGCCGAUGCUGACGCCGUCGGAGCUCGACGAAUUGUAGAGGCGGAUCGAAGAGGAUGGUCGCAGUGGCUGUAGAUCCCGACGAUCCCGACGAUGACGGAGCUGAGCGGAGACGGUUUGAUCAUGUGAUUCAGAAGAGAAAGAGAUGUGGCCGUGAGGAAAGCUGGUUGCUCUGGAGCCGGCAUCGCGAGUUGCAGACCAUGGCGGAGGAGAAGACGAUGGCUUAGUGAUGGGUUCGUGGUGGUCCGAGCACGAUCUCUCUUUGGAGAAGGAGCCUCACCAGAACAGAGCACGACAAGACCAUGAGCCACCUCGGAGAGCCUUCACGGUCAUUGGAGUCGCGAUGCGAAGAAGUUAAGCUCGGGUUCAGAACUGUUUGAUAUCGUGGGAGAGAGACACCGUUGAGCAUUGAGCGUGGCUCACAGCGACCACUGGUAGCGGGGAGUCGGGGACGUGACGCCGCUCGGGAAGACGCGGACUCACCAGCGGCAAACCGUAGCGGGACGCGAUGGCCGCUGCGAAGAUAUUUUGAGAUGUUGACCGGUUUGACCCGGUUUAAUAUAACCAAACCAGCUCGAAUUUGGCCUCUCUAUAAAUAGAUUUAGACCUAAAAAUCUUAGUUUUUAUCUCAUUUUCUCUCGAGACUUUGUCUAAACUUGUAAGAGCUUGAAUAUUUUGAUAAUCUAAGGAAAUACUUCAUCUUAUAUUUGUGUUUCUCUUGCUCAUUAACAUGAUUAGCCUUGAUCCUUACAUUGGUUUAAGGUUUCUCAUGGAGAUUAAUGAGUAGUGAACUUGUGAUUUAUGGGUUAGAUAGAUUAGGGUGAUUAAGUGGAUAUUUAGAAUGUUUAUUGCGUGAUUAACAUUGUUCUAUCCUUGCUAAGUGUUCUUAAUGCUAGAUUAGACUUGAUCACUCUCAUCUAGACCUUAAGCUAUUUUACGCCCGGAAGGUGUUUGUUAAAAGGCUUGAAUGAACUUUGCAUUGUCUUUUACAUAUUUGGCCAACGGCAGUUGAUGUCCGAGAUGUUUAAGUGGUUAGUAGACUUGUGAUUUAUGCAUGCUUGAAUGUGUUAGCCAACAGGAGUUGAUGUUUAUUGCAUGACUAGCAUAUGAAUUAUUAUCACGUGAGUGGAUUAAUCUAUUUUGAAUGAGAUCUAGAUCUAUAGAGUUGUUGAUUGUUUUGUUUGAACAUCCUAGAUUGAACCUUGAUCACCUUAUAUCAAUUAUCUUUGCCCAUGGAUCCAUCCUUAGCAUUUGAUUGAAAGUUCUUGCACUUAUUUCUUGAUUAGAUUUGAGAUCACCUUGUUUAUAUUUCUAGGACAUUAGCUUGUUACAAAAUCAUCCAUUUUCUUUUUUGCUUGGAUUAGGAAAGUUUGUGUAUUCUUGGUGUUGUAGAUCUCUAGUUCCUUGUGGAUUCUAUCUUAAAAUGCUACAAUGACUUACCAUUCGAUUGUGGUAUUGUUGGCACAUUAGGUUAAUUGGUGUGUGCUUAAACGCAGUAAUUAAUUUGGCGUCGUUGCCGGGGAACUAGUAGAUUUGUCAUUAGGAUUUCAAGCUUUCUUCAGAUUAAGCCUUAUUUUCUUAUCUUUGUUUUGCUUUUGUAUAGUUACUAACCUUUACUUCUAGCUUUUGUUCUUUGCAGUGAUGGCUUCAAGCUACUUUGAGAGGCCACAAAAAGAGAAAGACACAUUUGAAGAUCACAUAGACGGUCUAGUCUUACUUACCAUGGCUGAUGUGAAGCAUUAUCACUCUAGACACUUGUCUUCUCCCCUUCAGUCCAUGUCCACCGGUGAAACAAACCUGAGGCCAAGGGUCCUCUACCACCCAAUUCAGACAAUAGCUUCAAGUAAGUGUCACUCCAACCUUGUACAUAUUUAGUUUUCAUGUUUAAUUAUUUUCCUUCGAUCUCUUCUUUGAGCUUACUCUCACACAAGGGACUGUGUGAAGUAAGUUUGGGGGAGAGUCUACUAUCUCACAUCAUUUUCUGUUUUGUUUACUUGUCAUGAGUCUCAUGCAUUGCAUUGUGAAUACUUAUUUGCAUAGAAAAACCACAACAUUGAAUUUUUUUCCGAAAUAACACCAAAACAAGCAUUUAGAUUUAUAUCUUGUUCCAUUUGCAUCUUUAGGAUUGAGUCUAGAAGCAUUUAGAUUUCAUUCAUGCAUUGGGAAAACCUUGUAAAGAACACAUGUCUAGAACUCAAUUUGACAUCCUAGCUAAACAUAGCAAGUAGCUUAAGCAUCUCUUGAAAAAGCUUGUAAGCUUCGAGCCUUGAAAACUCUUCUUGAAACAUGUUGCUUGCUUGAUGAUUGACAUUGUUCUACCAACUCCAAAUGUACUAAGGCUUAAUGAACUUAAUCUCUCUUGCAUAUGAGCAUUUGCAUACUUGAUCAUGGAUAUUAUACACAUUUGGGUUAUCUUUCUUUCUUUGUACCAAUCUUUGUUAACCCAAAUGGCACUCCCAUACCUAUGAACUCUCACCAUUCCUUGAAGCCAACAUUGAUUUGCUUGAGUGAGACCUUUUUGUGAAAGCUAGUCAUGUGCAAAAUCUUGAGAGUAUUAGGAGCGACAAUGGUUUGUUCUUAUCUUUGGCUAGCACUAGGUCCUCAUUUGAGCUAGCACUUAGGAUGGUUUGUUGGGUUUGUAUGCUUGAUUUUGAUCUUGGGAUUGGGAUGUGAGUGAAAGUGAAAAGAAAUGAACCAAAAAGAGUGAGAAAAGGAAAGAAAGCCACUAGNNNNNNNNNNNNNNNNNNNNNNNNNNNNNNNNNNNNNNNNNNNNNNNNNNNNNNNNNNNNNNNNNNNNNNNNNNNNNNNNNNNNNNNNNNNNNNNNNNNNNNNNNNNNNNNNNNNNNNNNNNNNNNNNNNNNNNNNNNNNNNNNNNNNNNNNNNNNNNNNNNNNNNNNNNNNNNNNNNNNNNNNNNNNNNNNNNNNNNNNNNNNNNNNNNNNNNNNNNNNNNNNNNNNNNNNNNNNNNNNNNNNNNNNNNNNNNNNNNNNNNNNNNNNNNNNNNNNNNNNNNNNNNNNNNNNNNNNNNNNNNNNNNNNNNNNNNNNNNNNNNNNNNNNNNNNNNNNNNNNNNNNNNNNNNNNNNNNNNNNNNNNNNNNNNNNNNNNNNNNNNNNNNNNNNNNNNNNNNNNNNNNNNNNNNNNNNNNNNNNNNNNNNNNNNNNNNNNNNNNNNNNNNNNNNNNNNNNNNNNNNNNNNNNNNNNNNNNNNNNNNNNNNNNNNNNNNNNNNNNNNNNNNNNNNNNNNNNNNNNNNNNNNNNNNNNNNNNNNNNNNNNNNNNNNNNNNNNNNNNNNNNNNNNNNNNNNNNNNNNNNNNNNNNNNNNNNNNNNNNNNNNNNNNNNNNNNNNNNNNNNNNNNNNNNNNNNNNNNNNNNNNNNNNNNNNNNNNNNNNNNNNNNNNNNNNNNNNNNNNNNNNNNNNNNNNNNNNNNNNNNNNNNNNNNNNNNNNNNNNNNNNNNNNNNNNNNNNNNNNNNNNNNNNNNNNNNNNNNNNNNNNNNNNNNNNNNNNNNNNNNNNNNNNNNNNNNNNNNNNNNNNNNNNNNNNNNNNNNNNNNNNNNNNNNNNNNNNNNNNNNNNNNNNNNNNNNNNNNNNNNNNNNNNNNNNNNNNNNNNNNNNNNNNNNNNNNNNNNNNNNNNNNNNNNNNNNNNNNNNNNNNNNNNNNNNNNNNNNNNNNNNNNNNNNNNNNNNNNNNNNNNNNNNNNNNNNNNNNNNNNNNNNNNNNNNNNNNNNNNNNNNNNNNNNNNNNNNNNNNNNNNNNNNNNNNNNNNNNNNNNNNNNNNNNNNNNNNNNNNNNNNNNNNNNNNNNNNNNNNNNNNNNNNNNNNNNNNNNNNNNNNNNNNNNNNNNNNNNNNNNNNNNNNNNNNNNNNNNNNNNNNNNNNNNNNNNNNNNNNNNNNNNNNNNNNNNNNNNNNNNNNNNNNNNNNNNNNNNNNNNNNNNNNNNNNNNNNNNNNNNNNNNNNNNNNNNNNNNNNNNNNNNNNNNNNNNNNNNNNNNNNNNNNNNNNNNNNNNNNNNNNNNNNNNNNNNNNNNNNNNNNNNNNNNNNNNNNNNNNNNNNNNNNNNNNNNNNNNNNNNNNNNNNNNNNNNNNNNNNNNNNNNNNNNNNNNNNNNNNNNNNNNNNNNNNNNNNNNNNNNNNNNNNNNNNNNNNNNNNNNNNNNNNNNNCGCCACCGAGCAGAGCAACUGUGGUUGACAAAUCCAACGAGUCGCCUCUUCGCACGCGCCCCCGCUACAGAAAACCCGCAACAAAUCCAUCUGGCUAGGAACCGAUGGCAACUCCGACAAGCCCCAGAGAGUCACGGUCUGACCAGCUUGACAAGACGACGCCAGGGACCACCGAGGAAGCAGGAGGAACACCGCAACUCCACCACCCAGGGAGACCAACGCCGCCUUCAGCCUAGCUAGACCACUCACCCGCACCGAGAAGAGAAACAGAGGAGGCAGAAGAAAGGGAGGCCCAUCUGCGAUAUCCAGAUCUGACGCCAGAUCUAGACCACUACCACCACGAUUUCCAAGAGACAACCUCACAUCCACUCCACCACCACGAUUCUCCGGCGUUACGAAGUCAACGCGCCAGAUCUGUCCGCGGAAGCGCAAGACCCAGAAGCCCCAAGAAAGGAAUCGAGGAGAAGGAAGGAGAGGAGAGGCGAGGAGAAGGAAGAAUCAAUCAUGGAAGGGGGCGACCGACGAUGGAGGAGGAGGCCGCCGGCCACCCUAAGCAAGAGGCGAUUUAGGGUUUUGUUUGAAAGGAUUUAGAGAGAGAGCAAUUGGGGUCCUGCUUUUCUAAAUAGAGUUCUUUACGUAAUGUAUUUUAUAAGGAAUAAGUUGUAAUCCUCUUGUAUACAGUUUUUUAAUCCAAUUUUUUUAAAAAAAUUUGAUUGAAAAAUGUUGCUUUACAUACACGUAUCCAUGUAUCCAUGUAAGACAGUAGAAACAUCCAAAAUAGAGGCUCCUCUUUUGUCAAAGUUGCAUCAGAAAGGUCAUAGUCCGAAUGGUCCCGAGUAUAUGUCGGGUCCAACCUUUAGUUGUUGUUGAGAUAAUUGAUUCGAUGAUUCAAUCCAAACCUACCCAACAUAAGUUUGAAGAAUUAAUUGGUCGGAAACUGGUUCAUAAUUACAAAGUGUUAUGAAAUAACUUAUAAUUUAUAGUAUUGAGAAAUUUAAAUAAGAAUAGAAAUUAAUACCCGUAGGAAGCAAAUAACACUAAUAUAAGUGAGAGAAUUUAUUAUAAGUAAGAAUAAAAAGGUGUAAUGGUGUACAAAAGAGUGAGAUGAGUGAUGGUAUUUAUAGUGAGCAAUAAUACAUAAAAUAUCAAAAAUGAUGCUUGAUUUAGUAAAUGAGUGGGUGAUCAUAGUGCUUGAUGAGUAGAUGAUCAUAGUGCUUGAGUUGGUAAAGGACUGGAGGAUCAUUUCAAAGUUUAUAUACAGUGAAACAAUAGAGACAGAAAAAACAAAUUAAAUCAUAUGGAAGUCAACUAUGUGCAUCCAAAAAGUAACUAAAGCCAUAACAGUUUCGUUGACUUGUCUUUCCGGACCUUCCGGUCCUAUUUCUAUUUCUACUUCUUCAUGUGAUUAUCAUUUACUUACCACUCAUAUGGAAACAAACAUCUACUAGAAGAAAUGUUCUUAUAGAUGAUGAACAUAAGCUCACGAAGAACACAAAAAUUUAACUUAAUUUAAUAUAUAUACCAAUACUAAUUAUCAAAUGGUUUAGAGAUUUUCUGUUCAGCAAGCUCUAGAGAUUGUAGGUUUUCUCUCUAAACAUGUUUUUAACUCUCUUCCGACUCAACAAACACAAUAACAAGAUUCUUUUUCAUGAGCCCACCUGUGACCACUGCAAAAGAAAAAAAACAUGUCAGAGAGGUUACAAACGAAGAUCAUCAUCAUCCUUAGGAAGCUUUUUGAUUAUUCUCCAGCUGCUUGAGAUUAUCCACGUGUUGCAAGUAGUUUUGAACGGCCAACAUCCUACAGAAAAUGGUUACAAGAGAUGAUAAAAACGUCAGAUAUAUUCCAAGAGGAGAUGCAAAACCAUGAAAGUAUUUGUUGAUGGUCAUCUAAACGAAUCGAUCAUCAACACGAGGAUGAUCAAUAUGCAUAGAUGUCAAUCAACAAACACAUUCAAGGGUUGCAAAAGAGAGUAACCAACCGAUGAAUUUCAUGGAAGUUAGAGAUGUAUAAAAACAAGUUUGGGAAUGUGAAAGUACAGAAUAUUCUUUGGAUAUUCUUAAGCAUAUGCUUUGGAAUAAACCUUUUCUCUAAUUCGAGAGGAUUCUUAAUGGCAACCAUGAUGAAAUGAAAACUCAAGAAGUAAAAAAGAAUCAGAACUCUCUUCUCGAUGAUUUGAUUAAUCAAAGUCUGAAAAUGUUCUUUAAAAUAUUACAAUGGCCUUUUCAAAUGUAAGACGAGACUAUAUGUCAAACUGUUCUUAUGGAUGAUGAACAUAACGUUUACAUUAUAGUACAUCAUAAGAAUGCUGGCUUCAUUUUUUAAAAUAACUCCUUGAUAAAUUUUUGAUCUUUAAGGUUAUAAAAUUGGGAACAGAAGACAUAAUACCAUUAAAAGUUGUCAACAAAGAACAUAUACAAGUUAAAAAAACAUACAAUGAAAGCUUUCCUGGAAGAUGUUGUGAUGUUACCAUUGGACGUGUGUUCCAAGUGAAGGUGUUGGAUGUUCUUGGUUAUGAAGGAAGUGCUAAAGAGUUUGAACACUUGAAGAGUUUGCUUGGGGGGUAUGGAGUGUGAAGACGUGGUUUUCAAGCCAGUUAUGAUGAGUGCACAUGCAUAGUCAAAAAGGGGGAGAUUGAAGAUGCAGUCUGCUGAGAUGUUUUGUUUCAGUUCGUGAAGUACUACAGAAGGUAGUACAGGCGUGCGUCAUGAAGAUGGAGCUGAAUGGGAAUUUGAGUUUUGUGAUUGCGUGAACUUGCUGAGCUUGGAAAAGGAAAGAUGAUAUAUGUUUGAAGACAUAUAGACGUUUUCCAUAAAGCAAAAGAGAGUUGCUUGAAGAUGAAGUUUUCCAUUAAAGAAAAUGGAAAGUUGUCUUAAGUGUAUUUGGAAGACUUGGAGAGCAAGUUGAAGACGUGGAGAGCAAGUUCUGGUAGCUAUGUAAGGACGGACGUGCCUUAUGAGACAGCAAGACCUCAUAGAAGAGAGAGAGAGAGAGGUUUCCUUGGUGUGUGGUACUGCUUGGUGUCGAAGGAUAUUCUGAAGCAUUUUCUGAUGGAGUCCGAUGUGGACUUAGUUUGGUGGCGUUUGAGUUGGCGCUUUGGGUGGUGGAGUUAGCCAUCAUGUGUAGCUCGUGUGAGCUUUGUGUGUGCUUGGUUGAUCAAGCGUUUUGGUGUCACUGGGUUGCGUUGGGUGCUGACGUACUUGGUGAAGUACUUCUGAGAAGUGGAAGAUUGAAGCCUAGACUCUGGGGGAGUUUAGAAAUGGCGGUUUCAUUGAAGAGAUCUGUGAAGAUUGCAGCUGUAGAAGACAGUGUGCUCCGGUGAGCCGGAUGGUGAUCUAUGCAUGCGUGCUUGAUUCAUAAUCUUUGUAGAUUGCUACUUAGAAAAGAGUGGUAAACACUAGUGUGUGUGUUGUAUCAUAUAGCAAUUGUAGGUUGCUCCUUGUUCUAAGUCGAUGAAAUCUGGACGAGGUCCCGGGGAUGUAGGAAACGAACCCCGUUAACAAAUUUUGUGUGUUUUACUUUCUGCACUUGUUUUUCGUCGCCUCAUCUGCACUAACAGAGUGCAUCGAAAAAAUGCGAGUGGAGUUAAUUGUACAAUCUUAUAUAUUAAAACAAAAGUAACAACCUUGAUUCAUGUGUGAUUUUUUUUAAAAAAUGAACAUAAUAGACCUAUUCAUAUAUAGUCAUGUUACAUUUAAUCUCUAAUCUUAUCAUUUAAAUUUUGGACCUACCAGAAAUUUUUAUUGGACUAUCAAUAAUUGGAUUUAAAGAAUAGAUGAUCCAUUGAAUUUAUAGAUAGUAUAAAUUAAAUAGAUAUAAUUUAAAUAUGUAUAAUUUAAUGUUGUAAUACUAUACCUCCAUAUGUUAAAUAUUUAAAUAUUUGUCGAUGUUAACUUUUAAAAUUAUAAAGAUUUUUUUUUAAAUAACAAAAAUCAUACUAUCUAACGAUGAUUAAUUUUUAUUUCCCUAAACCAAUGAAAACAAAUUUUAAACUAUAUAGUUUUUUAAAAAAUUAAACAAAAACUAAAUGCUUAAUUAUUUACUCGAUAAUAUAAAUCUAUGAAGCGAAAAGUUUAAUUUUUAAAAAACUUUAUAAAUUUGUGAAAUAUUACAAUAUCUUUGAAUAUGAUAAUAAAGUAAUAUUUUACUAAUCUUUACAAUAUAGUUAUGAUUUUAAUAAUGAAAUAAUAAUAUGAAAAUAUAUAUAUAGAAGAAGAUACAAAUACAUGUGAAAGUUUAUAACAAUCUAUUCAAUGAAAAAAAUAUAUCGUAAACUUAUUAUGUUUUAAAAAUUGAUAGACACAUAUAUUAUAAUAUAUACCAAUUUAGAAUUGAAAAUAAAAUAUUUAUAUAAAAAUAAAUGAAAACAAAAAUCUGCGCGGUUGCGCGGAUCGAAAUCUAAUGAUGAUGUUAUAGUAAUAAUAAUGAUGAUGUUGACAUGAUUAUGGUGGUGAAGUUAUAGCGACGAUGAUGAUAAUGGUAUAACGGUACCAAUUCAUUAAGUUCAAAAUUAACUCAUAUGGUGCUAAUGUGUAUGUUUUAUUGAAUUUUUGUCACUUUUUCACUCAAUUUUUUUUUUUGGGUUUAGUUAUGUAAACCAUUGAUAUAUAUAUACCUUUAACGUAAGCAUUGAUAUAAAAUGAUAUUCUCUGUUUUAUAAUAUAAGUAGUUUUAUCAAAAAAAAAUUGUUUCACAAUAUAAGUAGUUUUAACUUUUCAAUGAAACUUUUAUAUUUAUUAUAUAUUGUAUGACCAAUUAAAUUAUGUAUUUUUUUAUAAUUGGUUGAAAUUAUAUAUUAAAUGUUAUUUUUUAAUAAGUAACCACUUUCUUAAUAUUGAUUAUUUUAGCUUAAAACUAUUUACAAUUUGAAACUACAAAAUAGAUAAGAUUUCAUAAAUAAUUGACUCUUUUAAUAGGUAUUUACAUUUUUUUAUGCGCAUUACUCGAGGCUUAUAAAGUUAUAAUACACCAAUAUGCAUAUAUAUAGGCUCAUAGCUUUACGAUUCAUUCGCUCUCUCUCAACUCUUUCAUCUUCCCUCAGAAUCUUCUUACAAGAAAACAGCCACGCAGCAAAGAAGGUAAGACGAUGUUCACGUUGGAGAGCUCCGACGGUUUCUUAUUUGUGGUUGACGAAGCGGUCGUACUUCAAUCAGUGAUACUGUCGCCUAUGGUUCAAGAUUGCGCCAGUCGUGAAUACCCGAUCACCAACGUCACAGGCAAAAUCCUCAAGUUAGUGAUUGAAUACUGCAAGAAUCACGUCGUCGUCGACGGUGGCGAUUCUUCUUCCUCCUCCGGUGAUGCUCUCAAGAAGUGGGACGAUAAGUUCAUCACGCAAAUGGAUCUGUCCACGGUCUACGAUCUCCUCAUGGCUGCGAACUACCUAAGCAUCAAAGGUCUUUUUGAUCUCGCUUGCCAGAGAGUCGCUGACGUGAUCGCUGCAUGCAAAGACCAUAAGGAGAUUCGUGCAAUGUUCGGCCUCGUGAACGACUUCACAGCAGAGGAGGAAGCAGAGGUUCUCAAGGAGAACGAGUGGGCUUUUGAUUGAUGAAUGAAUGAGCGGGUUAAUCUAAACCCCUAGCUACUCUUUCUUUUCGAAUCUUUGUGUUUACGGAUCUUUAGAUCGAUAAUAGUUGAACAUGGCUUUCUUGUUUUUGAUUUUGAUAAUAUCAACAGUGUUCUUGAUCGAUAUUAGAUGAACAGAAAGUCUUAUAAAGCAAGUUGUUGUUGAUCGUAUGAGUUUAUGCUUUCUGCAUUGGGUUUCAAAGUCUCGGACUAUAGUAGAAUCGUUACAUCGAUAACCAUGAGAACAAGAGAGUUGUGUUCACUAAACAUGACUCGUCUUUGGCGUGCAGAACAAGAAAAGACAAUUCUUGAUCAAUCUUAAACAAGAUCAAGAAAACAUAGGAUAUGAUGAUAAAACUGCAUAUAUAUCCAGAAGAAGUUUUUGUAUAUGUGAAGCUUGUGUUUUAAGAAAUCUUCUGUCAAUGAUCUUUCUCUACUAGUUCUGACUCACCGCCAUUGCUCUCUGGUACCAAGGUUUUCUGUUUGACAAUACAGUUACGUCACACUCACGCAUCUCUUUUGGUGAUUUGUAUAAAUUAAAGGGAAAAUUAGAAAAAUAAGACACUUUGAACUUUUAUUCGUCACAAUAUGACUUCUGAUAUUUUGGACAGUUUUGGACAUAUCUUACUUUUUUUUAUGGGAAAAAUAGUAAACUGAAUUUUAAAAAUGUUAAAAAAUAGGGCUUUUUGCAAAAGUGACUCAAAACUUGGAGUCAAACAGAAAACUAACAUUUUUUUUUUACUCCUUUUUUUUUAAGAUUUUAACCCCACACCUGCAUUUUAUCUACGAAAAUGCCAUUAACAUUUUUUUUUUUUUCGAAAAUGGCUUCUUUACUGUCUCAACCUCAUCUUCUUCAAGUAUUUACAAUAUUGCCACUGCAAUGAAUAGUGGCAACAACCUUGUACGAACUGUUUGGAGCUUUUAAUGCCCUUUAAUGCACGUAAAUCUCUUUACACUCUCUCUGUUUCAAUUGUUAUGAACUAAAAACAACAUUUCUUUCACUUUCUCUCUAUAUUCAUCCAAAAAACUCAAGCUUUUGAUUCAAAAUAUGGGCUAUGGUUGACAGAGCCAUAUUUCUUUCGUUUUGACUUACGGUUGCUUUCGUUUGAGGUUCUGGGUGGUUGGAGAAGACCCUGUGUGCAAACGAAGUCAUCUCACCUAGUUUAAGGUACGAAUUUGAAUUUUUUUUCAAGAUCUGUUCGCGUAGAAGACUUACUAGUAAGUCAUCUGUAUGUAGAAGACUUACUGAUGAGUCUUCUGGUCAAACGGACGACUUAAAUUAAGUCGUCAAGCUUUGUUUGUUAAAAAAAAAAGUCUGGCAAGAGCACUUUUCGGUCCUCCAGAGACUCAAAUACGUCUAGAUUGGCCAACGAAGCUGAGGAUUUGCGUCGGUAUAGCGAGAGGAUUAGCUUAUCUCCACUAGGAAUCAAAACUCAAGAUUGUGGACAGAGACAUCAAAGCAACUAAUGUCUUGCUGGACAAGGAACUAAAUGCAAAGAUUUCGGAUUUUGGUCUUGCUAAGCUUGAUGAAGAAGAAAACACACACAUGAGCACACGAGUCGCUGGAACAUAGUGAGUUUAACUAAUCUGUCAUAAGAGUUUCAGCUCUGUUUAGGUUUCUUGUAACCAAAGUAAGCUUUUUUAUUUUCUUUCGCAGCGGAUUCAUGGCUCCUGAAUACGCCAUGAGAGGUCACUUGACAGAUAAAGCAGACGUCUACAGUUUCGGCGUCGUGGCUCUAGAGAUUGUUCACGGAAGAAGCAACACAAGCGCACGAUCCAAAGGCGAAACCUUCUACCUUCUUGACUGGUUAAGUUAUUAUCUUUUACACCUAUAAAUUAUAAAACCUUGAAUCUGAAUUCGGCUGAUAGACUUUGCUUAUCCGUAACUGUAAACCUCCACACUCUUAUUGAUAAACGAAGUACAAAUGUGUUUAGCUUCGAAGUACGAUCUCGAGCUUCACUCUCAUAACGAGCUUCACUCUCAAUCUCUCAAUCUCAUAACGAUCGAGAAGUACAGACUCAUAACGUCUAUAACAAACUAUAACAAAAGCAUAAACCAUCCUUAACGGAUUACAACUCUAUUUAUACUUCUAACUGAAUAACGGCAAACACUCAACUCGAUCCAGAGUGUCUCAGCUCUUCUUUUAUUUCAACUCCUCAACUCUCUUCUUCUACUACUUCUUUGCCUCUCCUCUUCCUCAUGUAAGCUUUCUUGAACCUAUAAAUACUUCCCCCAACGAAAUCCAGCUUGCCCUCAAGCUGGUAAGAAGGAAAACAAGCCAGGAACUCCUCAUACGACAUCCAAGAAUUCUCCAAAGAAGACUUUCCCUUCCAUUGGAUCAACAGCUCCAAACUACCCUUCGUGUCAUAACGUUUAUCCAACACAUCCUCCGGUUCAAUAACUUCGUCCACAUCCGUAAUGCAACCUGGAGGAAGCACUGCACUCUGUUCGUGCUGUCCCAAUGCAAGUUUCAACUGGGAGACAUGAAAAACAGAGUGCACCCGAGCCUGAGGAGGAAGUUGAAGCUUAUAAGCCGUCUUCCCAAUACGCUCAAGUAUGGCAUACGGCCCAUAGAACUUUGCUGCGAGCUUCUGACAGACACGUCGCACCACCGUUUGCUGCCUAUAAGGUUGUAGCUUCAAAUACACCAUAUCACCCACAUUAAACUCUACUUCCCUUCUUGACUUAUCAGCCUGGGCCUUCAUUAUCUCUUGUGCUCGUAACAAAUUCUGUUUGAGGGACUCCAGCGCCUCAUCUCUGUCACGUAACGCUCUAUCCACCUCAAAGUUUGUAGUCGAACCCGGUUCAAAACGCAAGAGAGGAGGAGGGUCACGGCCAUACAACACCUUGAACGGAGUAGUCUGUAAUGAUUUAUGAUAAGUGGUAUUAUACCACAGCUCCGCCCAAGCCAAAUAGGAAUGCCACGAACGAGGAUGGGAGGAAGAGAAGCAACGUACGUACGUCAAAACCUCAGAUUUACCAUCUGUUUGAGGAUGAAAGGCAGUACUGUACUUCAAUGUCGUCCCCGCCAAACGAAAAACUUCAGUCCAAAAAGAGCUCAAGAAGAUGUGAUCCCUAUCAGACACAAUACUCUUUGGAAACCCAUGGAGCUUAACUACUUCGACAACAAACUUCUUAGCCACAUCUAGCGCGGUGAAUGGGUGUUUGAGACUGAUAAAAUGCGCGUAUUUACUCGAACGGUCAAUCACCACCCAGAUCACAUUAACGCCAUUAGAGGUGGGUAAGCUGAUAUCUCAUGUUUUUAUAGACUUUUAACAUUUCAUUUUAUUGCAUUUUGAUCAUUAGAAUGCAUAUUAGGUGUAUAUAUUGCACUAGAGUGUUCAUUUGAAUAUUCUAAGGUUUGGAGUGUCCAAUUGGAAGUUUUCGGCAAUAUUGGAAGGUUAUUGUUGCAAAUCAGAUACUUAUGGGUCAUAAAUGAAAGAAGGCAAGAAUUCAGGGACCGAAGUUGCAAAUUCAGAAUUCGCCGGACUAGACUGCACAACUGGAACUUUGGGGUUAAUUCGAGUGGACGUUUCUGCACAUUCGAUAGUUUUGGGGUCAAAGAGUAACUAUAUGAAAGUUGAAGGGCCAGAUAUGCAAUUAUUCUAAAACCCACCAUUGGAGGUUACGAUUUUCUUCCGACAGAUCUCUUUGACGGCGACGACGAGCUUCCACGGUGGAUUGCGUGGAGGAGAGCUCCGAUUUGGAGCCGUGACGGAUACUUGACGACAAUGGUGGUUGAGCAGAGGUUGGUCGUGACGAAGCUUGAAGCAAAGACCUCCACGAGCGCCAACAGCGAUGGCUGGUUCCGGCGACGUGACGGCGGAGGCUGAGAGCACGACGGAGAGCUCACCACGGCUAUGACGAGCACGACUGCGGAGACUGGCAGCGGAGGCGCCGAUGCUGACGCCGUCGGAGCUCGACGAAUUGCAGAGGCGGAUCUAAGAGGAUGGUCGCGGAGGCUGUAGAUCCCGACGAUCCCGACGGCGAGAAGAGCACGGCUUGAAGAGCCACAGUUCAGAUCGACGGCCAUAAAGAAGAAGACGAUGACGUUGUAGCGAUCAAUUCCAAGCCUUGGAGCAGGUUACCAUAGCGACAUGGCCCAACCGCGCGCAACGUAGCGAGCUCGGGAGCGGCUUAGUGGAGCGGGGAGAAGUGGCCGCGCGCUUCGAUGAUCCAUUUGCGAAAUUAAAAACGUUGACCGGUUUAAUCCGGUUUGACCCGGUUUUAUCCAAUCGAACCAGGACGAGUUUAGACUUCUUAUAAAUAGUUUUAGCCUCCAAAAACCCUAAUUUAUCUCAUUUUCUCUCAAAACUUUAUCUAAACUUGUAAAAACUUGAAUCUUUUGAUAAUCUAAGGAAGUAUUUCAUCUUAUAUUUAUAAUUUUCUUGCUCAUUAACAUGAUUAGCCUUGAUCCUUACAUGGGUUUAAGGUUUCUUAUGGAGAUUAGUGAGCAGUGAACUUGAUAUUCAUGGGUUAGACAGAUAGGUGAUUAAGUGGAUAUUUAAGAUGUUUAUUGCUUGAUUAACAAUGUUCUAUGCUUGUUAAGUGUUCUUAAUCUAGACCUUAAGCUAUUUUACGUCCGGAAGGUGUUUGUUAAAAUGCUUGAAUGAACUUAGCAUUGUCUUUUAUAUAUUUGGCCAACGACAGUUGAUGUCCGAGAUGUUUAAGUGGUUAGUAGACUUGUGAUUUAUGCAUGCUUGAAUGUGUUAGCCAACGGGAGUUGAUGUUUAAUGCAUGACUAGCAUAGGGAUUAUUAUCACGGGAGAGGAUUAAUCUAUUUUGAAUGAGAUCUAGACCUAUAGACUUGUUAAUUGUUUUGUUUGAACAUCCUAAAUUGAACUUUGAUCACAUUAUAUCAAUUAUCUUUGCCCAUGGAUCCAUCCUUAGCAUUUGAUUGAAAGUUCUUGCACUUAUUUCUUGAUUGGAUUUAAGAUCACCUUGUUUAUAUUCCUAGGACAUUAGCUUGUUAAAAAAUCAUUCAUAUUCUUGUUUGCUUAGAUUAAGGAAGCUUGUAUAUUCUUGGUGUUAUAGAUCAUUAGUUCCUUGUGGAUUCGAUCCUAAAAUGCUACAAUGAUAUACCAUUCGAUUGUGGUAUUGUUGGCACAUUAGGUUAAUUGGUGUGUGCUUAAACGCAUAAUCAUAAGCCCUAGAUAAAAUCCAUGGUAACAUCUUCCCACACAAGAUUCGGAACUGGUAGAGGCUGCAACAACCCGGCAGGUGAGAGAGUCGAGUGCUUAUGUGUUUGACAUAUCACACACGAAGCCACAUACUGCUGAAUCUGCUUAUACAUUCCCUUCCAGAAGAACGAACACUGAACCCUCUUCACUGUCUUAAGCACACCUGAAUGGCCUCCCAUCUUACUAUCAUGCGCCUCCAGUAAGAUAAGUGGGAUGUACUGAGAAGAUUUAGGUAUGACCAAACGUUUCUUAUACCACAGUCUCCCAUCAAUCGCUUGAUACUUACGAGAUAACAAAACACCCGUCAAAAUUUUUUGAAUAGUCCCCUGUAUCAUUGUAUCUUCUUUGAUCUCUUUAUAAAGAUCUUCCCAUUGCAGGACCGUAGGUGUAGUUAAAGCCAACAAGAGUGAAGAUAAUUACAUUGAACGCGAUAGACCAUCUGCUGCUUUGUUCUCCGGUCCAGGCUUGUAAAAAAUUUCAAAAUCAAACCCCAAGAUCUUCGUAAGCCACUUCUGAUACUCCAAAUUCACUCCUUCUGUUCCAGCAAAAAUUUUAAACUCCGUUGAUCAGUAUGCACAUGGAACUUACGGCCAAGAAGAUAAUGUUUCCAUUUUCGAAUCGCCAUAACUAUAGCCAUAAGCUCCCGUUCAUACGCUGGUUUCAUCUGCUCACGGGCGGUCAACGCAUGACUGAAGAACACGAUAGGUUGCUUGUUCUGCAUCAAUACUGCUCCUAACCCCACUCCAGAUGCAUCAGAUUCAAUGACAAAACCUGUUGAAAAUCCGGGAGAGCUAAUACUGGGGCGUUAACCAUAGCAAACUUCAAGUUAUCAAACGCAAUUUGUGCUUCCCUGGCCCAACAAAACUGAUAUUUCUUCAAAAAAACUGUCAACGGACGAGCAAUGCUGCCAUAAUCUUUGACAAAAUGUCUGUAACAACCGGUUAACCCCAAAAAUCCCCGUAGCUGCUUCACUGUUUUCGGAGUUGGCCAUUCACUCAUUGCUGCAGUCUUCGCGGAAUCUGUAGCUACACCUUUACCUGAGAUAAUAUGACCCAAAUAUUCCACUGCUUCCACCCCAAAGGUACACUUCUUCUGAUUCGCAAAUAAACUAUGUUCUCGGAGGACUUGGAGAACCAACCUCAAAUGUUCCUCAUGCUCCUCGUGAUUCUUGCUAUAAAUCAGUAUAUCAUCAAAAACACGAGGACAAAGUGGCGUAGUAAGGGCUUGAACACCUUGUUCAUCAACGCUUGGAAUGUGGCAGGUGCGUUAGUGAGACCAAAAGGCAUCACUAAAAACUCAUAGUGUCCUUCCACAGUCCGGAAUCCUGUCUUCGGUAUGUCCUCUUCUAGCAUUCGUAUUUGAUGGUAACCUGAGCGUAAAUCCAAUUUAGAGAAGACAGACACUCCAUUGAGCUCAUCUGUCGCGGAGGCUGUAGAUCCCGACGAUCCCGACGGCGAGAAGAGCACGGCUUGAAGAGCGACGGUUCAGAUCGACGGCCAUAAAGAAGAAGACGAUGACGUUGUAGCGAUCAAUUCCAAGCCUUGGAGCGGGUUACCAUAGCGACAUGGCCCAACCGCGCGCAACGUAGCGAGCUCGGGAGCGGAUUAGUGGAGCGGGGAGAACUGCCCGCGCGCUUCGAUGAUCCAUUUGCGAAAUUAAAAACGUUGACCGGUUUAAUCCGGUUUGACCCGGUUUUAUCCAAUCGAACCAGGACGAGUUUAGACCUCUUAUAAAUAGUUUUAGCCUCCAAAAACCCUAAUUUAUCUUAUUUUCUCUCAAGACUUUGUCUAAACUUGUAAAAACUUGAAUCUUUUGAUAAUAUAAGGAAGUACUUCAUCUUAUAUUUGUGUUUCUCUUGCUCAUUAACAUGAUUAGCCUUGAUCCAAUUUAAGGUUUCUCAUGGAGAUUAGUGAGUAGUGAACUUGUGAUUCAUGGGUUAGAUAGAUUAGGGUGAUUAAUUGGAUAUUUGGGAUGUUUAUUGCUUGAUUAACAUUGUUUUAUGCUUGCUAAGUGUUCUUAAUGCUAUAUUAGACUUGAUCACUCUCAUCUAGACCUUAAGUUAUUUUACGGUAGGAAGGUGUUUGUUAAAAUGCUUGAAUGAACUUAGCAUUGUCUUUUACAUAUUUGGCCAACGGCAGUUGAUGUCCGAGAUGUUUAAGUGGUUAGUAGACUUGUGGUUUAUGCAUGCUUGAAUGUGUUAGCCAACGGGAGUUGAUGUUUAAUGCAUGAUUAGCAUAGGAAUUAUUAUCACGGGAGUGGGUUAAUCUAUUUUGAAUGAGAUCUAGACCUAUAGACUUGUUGAUUGUUUUGUUUGAACAUCCUAUAUUGAACUUUGAUCACCUUAUAUCAAUUAUCUUUGCCCAUGGAUCCAUCUUUAGCAUUUGAUUGAAAGUUCUUGCACUUAUUUCUUGAUUGGAUUUGAGAUCACCUUGUUUAUAUUUCUAAGACAUUAGCUUGUUACAAAAUCAUCCAUCUUCUUGUUUGUUUGGAUUAGAAAAGUUUGUGUAUUCUUGGUGCUGUAGAUCUCUAGUUCCUUGUGGAUUCGAUCCUAAAAUGGUACAAUGACAUACCAUUCGAUUGUGGUAUUGUUGGUACAUUAGGUUAAUUGGUGUGUGCUUAAACGCUUAAUCAGCUAUUGUAAAAGACAAUUACUUACGCCACCAAAUAUAGAAAAUAAAAUCUAUUAUCUUCUUCUCGUUGUCGUCUAAGACCAUGAUUAACUCCAGUCUUAACUGAGGUUUUUAGUUUCGGCUAAGAGACGAUUUUUAGCUUUUCUUAGAUUUUAACUAAUAAAAGCUAAAAUCUAAGAAAUGCUAAGAAUUGUCUCUUAAAUAAGAGAUAUGAGAGCCGUCUCUUAUCCGAAAAGCGUAAAAAUAAAAAAAAAUGUCAAAUCAUGGGUUAAAAACUCAGAGGCCAUGGUUAAUAUCAUGCCCUAAAGUCCUUUAAAGGUGGCUUCCAGCUUAGAAGUGUCGAAACAAAAGUAAACAAAUUAUUGAGCAGUGAUUUUAUUGGAUUUUCCGAACAAUUUACAAAGUCGGUCAGUGUCUAAGGCCUGUUCGUUUAUUAAACGCCACGUCUAACACUUGCGACUGAAAUUUUAAGGGAAAACGAGAAAAUUUACAGACGCGAGAAAAAAAAAUGGAAAAGCAUCCAUGUUUUUCAGCCGCAUGAAAGAGAGAAAAAAGAUGAACGGUGACGCUAUUUAUUUCAGCGGCACAAACAUCACCGGAAUCCGUCGAUUAUUGUAACGCGCGUUCUCUAUUUUCCUUCACCAGCGACCAGCGCAUAAGAAAAUUACGAACAAAUUUCAGUCGCCAGAGUUGGUCGCCGCGUUUAAUAAACGAACAAUGUAAGGCCGGUUGGCAAGUUAUCUCUAUAGUCUAUACUACGCGUGGACGAGAGUGUUGGGCUGGAACACGCCAUAUAGAUGGGCCUAAAAUAUCAGUUUAGGUUGUCAAUUUUUCAAUUUCUAAAAAUAUUUUUUAAUUUAUAAAAAGAAAGAACUAUAAAUGGGAUCUUAAAAUACUGCAAAAGAACAAUUACUUUAUCGUUAGUUGAGUGGUUCGAAAUAUCUAAGAAAAGUAAAAUCCCAUAUGAUUAAAUUCAAUGAAACUAGAAAAAUAACACAAAAAGUCAAUCUAACUGAAAAUUAACAGAAGAAGAAAACAUUUGCAAAAAUAUAUAUAAGGAAAAGAAAGAUAGACGCCAGAAAUUGAUGGCAGCUGUGUGUGAGUGUGUGUGAUCAACAAAACCACUACCCAAACCAUAAACCUCCCAACUUCCCCCACAUAAAAAACAACAAAACCACUUUCUUCUCCUCCUCUUGUUCUUUGUUUCAUUCUUCUUCCUUCAACAAUCAUACACACACAACCAGUCAACCCUAAUAAUAGUAUUCAAUGGAUGGUCUGAUUCCAAUGGCGUUUAAGGCUAUGAUGAAAAAACGAACUCGGCGGCGUUACGAAUGCCUCUCUACCUCUGGUGGCACUACAAAAGAGUCCUACGUUGACGAAGACUUCUUCCCCUACGACGAAAAAUCCAAUCACUCCGUCGCAUCUCGACCGUCGUCGUCUUUAGAUCAUGUAGAAAUGAACAACGUAGCCGCUCAAGACCGUCACCGCCGUGGAUUGUCAGUCGGAGAUUUUUCUUCCAUGUCUUAUCAUGAAGGGAGAAGGUCACGUGGCGAAGGCGGAGAUAUAGGUGUUUCUCCGUCGCGGCGAGGACAGCUUGUGAGGAACAGAAGUCAUAGGUUGUUUUCUUGUGUCUCAGGUAAAUGAUUUAUCGAAACACAUAUUGUAACACUUCAACUCAAUAAACCAGCUGCUUUAUUUCCUUUUUAUGUCAGAUCUUGUUUUGUCUUUUGAUAUUUUUUCCUCUAAAAGAUCUGUACUUGUCGGCUGAUAUUGUUCUUCAUGUGAUAAUUUCCGAUAUUGAUUGUGUAAAGUUUUGGGGUUUGGUUUGGAAAGAUAUGAUUUUAGAGGGCUAAAAAUAAAUUUCGAAAAGAGUUAGUGGUCCACUAACGUAAUAUUUAAUUAAUUCUCAAAAGGCUAGUUGACCAAAUACAGUCGACGUUACGUUGUCUCGUACUCGGUGUUUGUUUGAAAACUGCGUAUGAACGUGUACUAUAUAACAUGCAUAUAAAAUUGAAUAAAGAAAUGCUUCAUAAAACAACCUUGCUACUUGCUGUAUUCCUCUGAUUGUACCCAAACUACACGUCAAAAAGUCUAUUAAUAAAAAUUUAAAUUUAAAUUGAACUAAGAAAAUUCAUCUAAGAGCAAAGUUAUCCUAAACAAUCAUCCUGCUAAAAUUAAUUUAUUAAUUUAUUGGAAAUAUCUUAGUUGAAUCAUUUGAUUAAUAGAUUAUUCAUACUUAUAUGAGGGAUAUGUUUGAGUUUUUUUUUUAAUUGAAAUGUGAUUUAUCAUCAAUUAUUAUAAAUAAAUUACAAUUUAUAUAAACUUUGAUUGUUGUCAAAAAAAAAUAUAUAUAAACUUUGAUUAUAAUGUAACUAAACCCGUGAGUUCUUAUAAAGAUCAUAAAAUGUAUCAUAUAAUAAUUCUCACAACUUCAAUUUAAAAAAAUUAUGUUAAAAUUUUUCAUGGUAUGCUAAAUGGAACUGUGAAGGUAUCAAAUAUUUUUAGUUUAACUUUCGUUUACAUAAUGUAUUUUUUUUGGUAAAAAUGUUAAGAUUUAUUACCAGGUUUUCAAGUUUUUUACAGAAAAUUACAGAGAUAAACAAGAAACAGAAGAAAAUAAAUAAUUUAAACACAAUACUCAAACCUAACUAAACAGGGACAGACUCAAGCUGAGCAUCAUAGGCAAAUGAUACAAGAAAUCUGAACAAUCGCUUGCCACAAAAUGGAACACGCAGUGAUAGCGAGAGAUGAACCCGGUAGAAUUCGGCAAUGCCCGAUGAUCAUCUCUUUAAGAUCGGGUUCUUCAAGAACAGCUUGCGACGACAUCAAGUCUUGUAGCUUCACGGACCGACACCUUCACACAAGACCAAGAACACCUGCUGAGACCAGGUCGAGCUUUAUUCGGAAAGAAGCCGUCAAAGCCGCCACAGACCACCGCACCUGCACCAAAAAGACCGAGACAAAAAGCACCGCUUUUAGCCAAAGCGGUCAGGAGACAUCCCAAGAUCAAUCCCCAGAAACUUGCAGGCCCAGCACACGCCGCCACCGAGCAGAGCAACUGUGGUUGACAAAUCCAACGAGUCGCCUCUUCGCACGCGCCCCCGCUACAGAAAACCCGCAACAAAUCCAUCUGGCUAGGAACCGAUGGCAACUCCGACAAGCCCCAGAGAGUCACGGUCUGACCAGCUUGACAAGACGACGCCAGGGACCACCGAGGAAGCAGGAGGAACACCGCAACUCCACCACCCAGGGAGACCAACGCCGCCUUCAGCCUAGCUAGACCACUCACCCGCACCGAGAAGAGAAACAGAGGAGGCAGAAGAAAGGGAGGCCCAUCUGCGAUAUCCAGAUCUGACGCCAGAUCUAGACCACUACCACCACGAUUUCCAAGAGACAACCUCACAUCCACUCCACCACCACGAUUCUCCGGCGUUACGAAGUCAACGCGCCAGAUCUGUCCGCGGAAGCGCAAGACCCAGAAGCCCCAAGAAAGGAAUCGAGGAGAAGGAAGGAGAGGAGAGGCGAGGAGAAGGAAGAAUCAAUCAUGGAAGGGGGCGACCGACGAUGGAGGAGGAGGCCGCCGGCCACCCUAAGCAAGAGGCGAUUUAGGGUUUUGUUUGAAAGGAUUUAGAGAGAGAGCAAUUGGGGUCCUGCUUUUCUAAAUAGAGUUCUUUACGUAAUGUAUUUUAUAAGGAAUAAGUUGUAAUCCUCUUGUAUACAGUUUUUUAAUCCAAUUUUUUUAAAAAAAUUUGAUUGAAAAAUGUUGCUUUACAUACACGUAUCCAUGUAUCCAUGUAAGACAGUAGAAACAUCCAAAAUAGAGGCUCCUCUUUUGUCAAAGUUGCAUCAGAAAGGUCAUAGUCCGAAUGGUCCCGAGUAUAUGUCGGGUCCAACCUUUAGUUGUUGUUGAGAUAAUUGAUUCGAUGAUUCAAUCCAAACCUACCCAACAUAAGUUUGAAGAAUUAAUUGGUCGGAAACUGGUUCAUAAUUACAAAGUGUUAUGAAAUAACUUAUAAUUUAUAGUAUUGAGAAAUUUAAAUAAGAAUAGAAAUUAAUACCCGUAGGAAGCAAAUAACACUAAUAUAAGUGAGAGAAUUUAUUAUAAGUAAGAAUAAAAAGGUGUAAUGGUGUACAAAAGAGUGAGAUGAGUGAUGGUAUUUAUAGUGAGCAAUAAUACAUAAAAUAUCAAAAAUGAUGCUUGAUUUAGUAAAUGAGUGGGUGAUCAUAGUGCUUGAUGAGUAGAUGAUCAUAGUGCUUGAGUUGGUAAAGGACUGGAGGAUCAUUUCAAAGUUUAUAUACAGUGAAACAAUAGAGACAGAAAAAACAAAUUAAAUCAUAUGGAAGUCAACUAUGUGCAUCCAAAAAGUAACUAAAGCCAUAACAGUUUCGUUGACUUGUCUUUCCGGACCUUCCGGUCCUAUUUCUAUUUCUACUUCUUCAUGUGAUUAUCAUUUACUUACCACUCAUAUGGAAACAAACAUCUACUAGAAGAAAUGUUCUUAUAGAUGAUGAACAUAAGCUCACGAAGAACACAAAAAUUUAACUUAAUUUAAUAUAUAUACCAAUACUAAUUAUCAAAUGGUUUAGAGAUUUUCUGUUCAGCAAGCUCUAGAGAUUGUAGGUUUUCUCUCUAAACAUGUUUUUAACUCUCUUCCGACUCAACAAACACAAUAACAAGAUUCUUUUUCAUGAGCCCACCUGUGACCACUGCAAAAGAAAAAAAACAUGUCAGAGAGGUUACAAACGAAGAUCAUCAUCAUCCUUAGGAAGCUUUUUGAUUAUUCUCCAGCUGCUUGAGAUUAUCCACGUGUUGCAAGUAGUUUUGAACGGCCAACAUCCUACAGAAAAUGGUUACAAGAGAUGAUAAAAACGUCAGAUAUAUUCCAAGAGGAGAUGCAAAACCAUGAAAGUAUUUGUUGAUGGUCAUCUAAACGAAUCGAUCAUCAACACGAGGAUGAUCAAUAUGCAUAGAUGUCAAUCAACAAACACAUUCAAGGGUUGCAAAAGAGAGUAACCAACCGAUGAAUUUCAUGGAAGUUAGAGAUGUAUAAAAACAAGUUUGGGAAUGUGAAAGUACAGAAUAUUCUUUGGAUAUUCUUAAGCAUAUGCUUUGGAAUAAACCUUUUCUCUAAUUCGAGAGGAUUCUUAAUGGCAACCAUGAUGAAAUGAAAACUCAAGAAGUAAAAAAGAAUCAGAACUCUCUUCUCGAUGAUUUGAUUAAUCAAAGUCUGAAAAUGUUCUUUAAAAUAUUACAAUGGCCUUUUCAAAUGUAAGACGAGACUAUAUGUCAAACUGUUCUUAUGGAUGAUGAACAUAACGUUUACAUUAUAGUACAUCAUAAGAAUGCUGGCUUCAUUUUUUAAAAUAACUCCUUGAUAAAUUUUUGAUCUUUAAGGUUAUAAAAUUGGGAACAGAAGACAUAAUACCAUUAAAAGUUGUCAACAAAGAACAUAUACAAGUUAAAAAAACAUACAAUGAAAGCUUUCCUGGAAGAUGUUGUGAUGUUACCAUUGGACGUGUGUUCCAAGUGAAGGUGUUGGAUGUUCUUGGUUAUGAAGGAAGUGCUAAAGAGUUUGAACACUUGAAGAGUUUGCUUGGGGGGUAUGGAGUGUGAAGACGUGGUUUUCAAGCCAGUUAUGAUGAGUGCACAUGCAUAGUCAAAAAGGGGGAGAUUGAAGAUGCAGUCUGCUGAGAUGUUUUGUUUCAGUUCGUGAAGUACUACAGAAGGUAGUACAGGCGUGCGUCAUGAAGAUGGAGCUGAAUGGGAAUUUGAGUUUUGUGAUUGCGUGAACUUGCUGAGCUUGGAAAAGGAAAGAUGAUAUAUGUUUGAAGACAUAUAGACGUUUUCCAUAAAGCAAAAGAGAGUUGCUUGAAGAUGAAGUUUUCCAUUAAAGAAAAUGGAAAGUUGUCUUAAGUGUAUUUGGAAGACUUGGAGAGCAAGUUGAAGACGUGGAGAGCAAGUUCUGGUAGCUAUGUAAGGACGGACGUGCCUUAUGAGACAGCAAGACCUCAUAGAAGAGAGAGAGAGAGAGGUUUCCUUGGUGUGUGGUACUGCUUGGUGUCGAAGGAUAUUCUGAAGCAUUUUCUGAUGGAGUCCGAUGUGGACUUAGUUUGGUGGCGUUUGAGUUGGCGCUUUGGGUGGUGGAGUUAGCCAUCAUGUGUAGCUCGUGUGAGCUUUGUGUGUGCUUGGUUGAUCAAGCGUUUUGGUGUCACUGGGUUGCGUUGGGUGCUGACGUACUUGGUGAAGUACUUCUGAGAAGUGGAAGAUUGAAGCCUAGACUCUGGGGGAGUUUAGAAAUGGCGGUUUCAUUGAAGAGAUCUGUGAAGAUUGCAGCUGUAGAAGACAGUGUGCUCCGGUGAGCCGGAUGGUGAUCUAUGCAUGCGUGCUUGAUUCAUAAUCUUUGUAGAUUGCUACUUAGAAAAGAGUGGUAAACACUAGUGUGUGUGUUGUAUCAUAUAGCAAUUGUAGGUUGCUCCUUGUUCUAAGUCGAUGAAAUCUGGACGAGGUCCCGGGGAUGUAGGAAACGAACCCCGUUAACAAAUUUUGUGUGUUUUACUUUCUGCACUUGUUUUUCGUCGCCUCAUCUGCACUAACAGAGUGCAUCGAAAAAAUGCGAGUGGAGUUAAUUGUACAAUCUUAUAUAUUAAAACAAAAGUAACAACCUUGAUUCAUGUGUGAUUUUUUUUAAAAAAUGAACAUAAUAGACCUAUUCAUAUAUAGUCAUGUUACAUUUAAUCUCUAAUCUUAUCAUUUAAAUUUUGGACCUACCAGAAAUUUUUAUUGGACUAUCAAUAAUUGGAUUUAAAGAAUAGAUGAUCCAUUGAAUUUAUAGAUAGUAUAAAUUAAAUAGAUAUAAUUUAAAUAUGUAUAAUUUAAUGUUGUAAUACUAUACCUCCAUAUGUUAAAUAUUUAAAUAUUUGUCGAUGUUAACUUUUAAAAUUAUAAAGAUUUUUUUUUAAAUAACAAAAAUCAUACUAUCUAACGAUGAUUAAUUUUUAUUUCCCUAAACCAAUGAAAACAAAUUUUAAACUAUAUAGUUUUUUAAAAAAUUAAACAAAAACUAAAUGCUUAAUUAUUUACUCGAUAAUAUAAAUCUAUGAAGCGAAAAGUUUAAUUUUUAAAAAACUUUAUAAAUUUGUGAAAUAUUACAAUAUCUUUGAAUAUGAUAAUAAAGUAAUAUUUUACUAAUCUUUACAAUAUAGUUAUGAUUUUAAUAAUGAAAUAAUAAUAUGAAAAUAUAUAUAUAGAAGAAGAUACAAAUACAUGUGAAAGUUUAUAACAAUCUAUUCAAUGAAAAAAAUAUAUCGUAAACUUAUUAUGUUUUAAAAAUUGAUAGACACAUAUAUUAUAAUAUAUACCAAUUUAGAAUUGAAAAUAAAAUAUUUAUAUAAAAAUAAAUGAAAACAAAAAUCUGCGCGGUUGCGCGGAUCGAAAUCUAAUGAUGAUGUUAUAGUAAUAAUAAUGAUGAUGUUGACAUGAUUAUGGUGGUGAAGUUAUAGCGACGAUGAUGAUAAUGGUAUAACGGUACCAAUUCAUUAAGUUCAAAAUUAACUCAUAUGGUGCUAAUGUGUAUGUUUUAUUGAAUUUUUGUCACUUUUUCACUCAAUUUUUUUUUUUGGGUUUAGUUAUGUAAACCAUUGAUAUAUAUAUACCUUUAACGUAAGCAUUGAUAUAAAAUGAUAUUCUCUGUUUUAUAAUAUAAGUAGUUUUAUCAAAAAAAAAUUGUUUCACAAUAUAAGUAGUUUUAACUUUUCAAUGAAACUUUUAUAUUUAUUAUAUAUUGUAUGACCAAUUAAAUUAUGUAUUUUUUUAUAAUUGGUUGAAAUUAUAUAUUAAAUGUUAUUUUUUAAUAAGUAACCACUUUCUUAAUAUUGAUUAUUUUAGCUUAAAACUAUUUACAAUUUGAAACUACAAAAUAGAUAAGAUUUCAUAAAUAAUUGACUCUUUUAAUAGGUAUUUACAUUUUUUUAUGCGCAUUACUCGGACCACUCACCCGCACCGAGAAGAGAAACAGAGGAGGCAGAAGAAAGGGAGGCCCAUCUGCGAUAUCCAGAUCUGACGCCAGAUCUAGACCACUACCACCACGAUUUCCAAGAGACAACCUCACAUCCACUCCACCACCACGAUUCUCCGGCGUUACGAAGUCAACGCGCCAGAUCUGUCCGCGGAAGCGCAAGACCCAGAAGCCCCAAGAAAGGAAUCGAGGAGAAGGAAGGAGAGGAGAGGCGAGGAGAAGGAAGAAUCAAUCAUGGAAGGGGGCGACCGACGAUGGAGGAGGAGGCCGCCGGCCACCCUAAGCAAGAGGCGAUUUAGGGUUUUGUUUGAAAGGAUUUAGAGAGAGAGCAAUUGGGGUCCUGCUUUUCUAAAUAGAGUUCUUUACGUAAUGUAUUUUAUAAGGAAUAAGUUGUAAUCCUCUUGUAUACAGUUUUUUAAUCCAAUUUUUUUAAAAAAAUUUGAUUGAAAAAUGUUGCUUUACAUACACGUAUCCAUGUAUCCAUGUAAGACAGUAGAAACAUCCAAAAUAGAGGCUCCUCUUUUGUCAAAGUUGCAUCAGAAAGGUCAUAGUCCGAAUGGUCCCGAGUAUAUGUCGGGUCCAACCUUUAGUUGUUGUUGAGAUAAUUGAUUCGAUGAUUCAAUCCAAACCUACCCAACAUAAGUUUGAAGAAUUAAUUGGUCGGAAACUGGUUCAUAAUUACAAAGUGUUAUGAAAUAACUUAUAAUUUAUAGUAUUGAGAAAUUUAAAUAAGAAUAGAAAUUAAUACCCGUAGGAAGCAAAUAACACUAAUAUAAGUGAGAGAAUUUAUUAUAAGUAAGAAUAAAAAGGUGUAAUGGUGUACAAAAGAGUGAGAUGAGUGAUGGUAUUUAUAGUGAGCAAUAAUACAUAAAAUAUCAAAAAUGAUGCUUGAUUUAGUAAAUGAGUGGGUGAUCAUAGUGCUUGAUGAGUAGAUGAUCAUAGUGCUUGAGUUGGUAAAGGACUGGAGGAUCAUUUCAAAGUUUAUAUACAGUGAAACAAUAGAGACAGAAAAAACAAAUUAAAUCAUAUGGAAGUCAACUAUGUGCAUCCAAAAAGUAACUAAAGCCAUAACAGUUUCGUUGACUUGUCUUUCCGGACCUUCCGGUCCUAUUUCUAUUUCUACUUCUUCAUGUGAUUAUCAUUUACUUACCACUCAUAUGGAAACAAACAUCUACUAGAAGAAAUGUUCUUAUAGAUGAUGAACAUAAGCUCACGAAGAACACAAAAAUUUAACUUAAUUUAAUAUAUAUACCAAUACUAAUUAUCAAAUGGUUUAGAGAUUUUCUGUUCAGCAAGCUCUAGAGAUUGUAGGUUUUCUCUCUAAACAUGUUUUUAACUCUCUUCCGACUCAACAAACACAAUAACAAGAUUCUUUUUCAUGAGCCCACCUGUGACCACUGCAAAAGAAAAAAAACAUGUCAGAGAGGUUACAAACGAAGAUCAUCAUCAUCCUUAGGAAGCUUUUUGAUUAUUCUCCAGCUGCUUGAGAUUAUCCACGUGUUGCAAGUAGUUUUGAACGGCCAACAUCCUACAGAAAAUGGUUACAAGAGAUGAUAAAAACGUCAGAUAUAUUCCAAGAGGAGAUGCAAAACCAUGAAAGUAUUUGUUGAUGGUCAUCUAAACGAAUCGAUCAUCAACACGAGGAUGAUCAAUAUGCAUAGAUGUCAAUCAACAAACACAUUCAAGGGUUGCAAAAGAGAGUAACCAACCGAUGAAUUUCAUGGAAGUUAGAGAUGUAUAAAAACAAGUUUGGGAAUGUGAAAGUACAGAAUAUUCUUUGGAUAUUCUUAAGCAUAUGCUUUGGAAUAAACCUUUUCUCUAAUUCGAGAGGAUUCUUAAUGGCAACCAUGAUGAAAUGAAAACUCAAGAAGUAAAAAAGAAUCAGAACUCUCUUCUCGAUGAUUUGAUUAAUCAAAGUCUGAAAAUGUUCUUUAAAAUAUUACAAUGGCCUUUUCAAAUGUAAGACGAGACUAUAUGUCAAACUGUUCUUAUGGAUGAUGAACAUAACGUUUACAUUAUAGUACAUCAUAAGAAUGCUGGCUUCAUUUUUUAAAAUAACUCCUUGAUAAAUUUUUGAUCUUUAAGGUUAUAAAAUUGGGAACAGAAGACAUAAUACCAUUAAAAGUUGUCAACAAAGAACAUAUACAAGUUAAAAAAACAUACAAUGAAAGCUUUCCUGGAAGAUGUUGUGAUGUUACCAUUGGACGUGUGUUCCAAGUGAAGGUGUUGGAUGUUCUUGGUUAUGAAGGAAGUGCUAAAGAGUUUGAACACUUGAAGAGUUUGCUUGGGGGGUAUGGAGUGUGAAGACGUGGUUUUCAAGCCAGUUAUGAUGAGUGCACAUGCAUAGUCAAAAAGGGGGAGAUUGAAGAUGCAGUCUGCUGAGAUGUCAUAUGUGUGUGUGUGUUUCAGUUGAUUUCUCGAUGUGUUAAACAUGGACUAGUUUUACCGGUGUUUAACAAUCUGGUUACCUUAUCUUUUGGGAGUAAAAACAAACGUGGUUGGAAACUGCUGCCAUAUCUGCUUAAGCACUCUCCAAAGCUUGAAACAUUAAUCAUCCAGGUAAUGUUGUUGUUUUUCACUAAUAAUCGAAACCCCCCUAGAGACCCCCCGGAACUUACUUGCUCACUUCUUCUUCUUCUUUUUCCCCCAGGGUCUGGAUAGUUACACAGGCGAUGUUACCAUUGGUCUGUUCCAAGUCAAGGAGCUGCAUGUUGUUGGUUAUAAAGGAACUGCUAAGGAGCUUCAACACCUGAAGAGUUUGCUUGCAGGAACCGAAUGCAUCCCGAAAAUGCAAGUGGAGUUCCCUGAAGAUGUUGUGGUCGAUGAUGCCAAAAUGAUCCAAACCCGUAGGGAUUUAUUUAUCCUUGUCGGAGUUGUUUCAACCGAUGUCGCUUAUUUCGAGUAGACCUUUGUGUACCAUUAAACCACAUUAUUUAUUGGGAAAAUUGCCAUGACUCACAACUUGAUUUAUAUUACAAAAGUAAACUCAAACUUGAAUCAAAUGCAAAAGUAACCUAAAAGGAUAUUGAAAUUACAACCAGCCAUUUGUGAAGAAACAAAAAAAUCAAAUUUUUUUUUACGUUUCUGACCCUCGUAAGUCGUCUAGACAGACGACUUUGUAGUAGACGAUUUACUGGAAAGUCGUCUGGACUAAUUAUACUUUGAAAUAAUUUAAAAAUUUUGUAAAAAAUAUUUUGAUAAGUGAAAAAUUGAAAUCAUGUAAUUAACAAAUGUUUUAAGAGAUAUAAAUUAAGAUAUAACAAAAGUUAAUUGUUUUCAACAUAGAUGAUUGAAAGUAGUGAGUCAUGAUAUUCUUUGGUUUAGGCUUUGCCAACAUAUGUUGUAGUUUUGUAUGUGUUCUUAGGGUUAGAUUUUGGAAUGCAUAAAUGUUUUUUGAAAAAUUUAAAAUUUACGUAAGUGUGUUUAUUUAUGUGUAUAGUAAACGCUAUUUAAGUAUAACUACGACUUACUGGUGUACAUUAUUCAAUAGACGACUUACUAGUAAGUCGUCCAAACCGGACCGAACCUUUAGUUUUACAAUGUACUUUUAAACCUAUCAGCCGUCAUAAUUGUUUACCAAGCAUCGUUGUGUUGAAAUCAGUGAUAUCUUUAAACUGUAAACCUCCAUCGUCCUUACUAAUACAUAUUUUAUCACAUGAUUUCCAAUGCAUUCCUCUUGUAUUACCGCCAUGGCUCCACCAAAAUUGUGCUACCGCACUCGUCAGUUUUUUUGCAGUAGCUUUGGGUAAACGAUAGCAAGACAUCACAUGAUUUGGCAAAGCCUUGAUCACUGAUUUGAUGAUCACUUCCUUUCCUCCUUUCGUAAAGAACUUAAAUGUCCAGCCAUUGACCAUAUUAUUUAGCUGAUCUUGUACGAAGACAAAAACUUGUAUCUUAGAACCCCUAAGACUUUCCGGCAGGCCUAGAUAAGUUUUCAUCCCUCCCAAAUUCUGUAUGUCCAAAAUAUCUCUUAGCUUUUGUCUGGCAGAUUCUUCGAUCUUGUGCUCAAAUUGAAUUGGAGACUUAUCAAAGUUUAUUAGUUGAUCUGAUGCUAUCUCAUAUUCCUUUAAAAUCCUGAGAACGGUGUGGCACUAAGAUUAAAAAAACAACAACAUAUACUAAGAUAAAUAUCACUUAUACAUUAUCUAUAUUAUCAUUAAUUUAUAAAGUAUAAUAAAAGAUAGAUUAUAUUCCACAUCCGGUAACAAAUAUAAUUUAAAAUUACCAGUAACAAAUAUGAUUUUAAAACAGAAUAAUAAGAAUUGGUUCUAACUCGUCAAAGUUACAAAAUUUAUUCAAAAAGUAUAUAAAUAAUUAAAAUCUUGAAAUAGCUAUAUUAUUUAAAUUAAUGACUCAGAGAAAACUAAUAAUAAAUUAAUGACUUAGCUUAAUCCUAAUAAAAUCAUGGAAAAUAGCAAAAUUAAGUAAAAUCAUGGAGAAUGUGACAAAUAAACAAAAUCAAAAUAAUUAUACAUCUCGUUACAAAUUUUAUAGUUAUAUAAUUUAAAUUAAUAAAUUAAUUACUCAGCUAAAAACUAAAAAUAAUUUAAUGACUAUGCUAUAACCUAAUAAAAAUAUGACAAAUAAGCAAAAACAACUAAAAUCAUGGUUAAAACAUGACACAUAAGCAAUAUCAAAAUAAUUAUAUACCUCAUUACAAAUUUCAUAGUUAUAUUAUUUAAAUUAAUCAAUUAUUGGCUGAGAAAAAAACUAUUAAUAAAUUAAUGACUCAGUUUAAACCUAAUUAAAACAUAAUAAGUAAGCAAAAUUUUCUAAAAUCAUGGAAAUAAUGACAUAUAAGUAAAAUCACUUCAUAAAUAAUAGUAUAGAUAAGUAUAAUAUUUAAGUUAGUUAUUAUGCUAUAAUUCUUAUUUUAUAUAUUUAUUGGGAUAGUUGAAUAUUUUGGAUGAUUAUCCGAGAUUAAUUUUGAAUUUGGUAUUAUUAUUUUUGAGCUUCUACUUUUUUUUUGUUUUUAAAUUUUUUUUUUUCGAAUUCAUAUUUGGUUUGGAUAAAAUCUAAAAUUCGAAAUGCCUUACAAUUUCAGAUAUAUAUGUCAUAUUAAAUUUGGUUUGAAUUCUCACUUUUUGUUCGGUUUAGUCUUUUAUCGUCCCUACUUUUUCUAUUAUAUAUAGAUGUUGUUUAUUUUCACUAAAAAGGAAAAUUAAUAGAGCAAUCACGGCUUAAACAAAUAUUAAUGGUCUAUAUAUUAUUAAAUUCUUUGGUAACAAAAGAAUAAACAAAAUGAAAUUAGAGCGCGCGCAGUCCCCAGUCUUGUUGUCAACAGACCUCAAUUAGGUCGUGAGCAGUCCUAGGAUCACUCUCGAGUCUCGAGUCGCGCAUCUCACGAGUCGCGCAUCUCUCGCGUCGCUUCCGCUUCAGUCACUCUCGUCGUUUCGUCACUCGCGUCUACUUCAAUGGUUAUUAACCUUUUCUUGCUUUUUUUUUUUUUUUAAAAAUAAUUUAUGUAGGAUCUAGAUUGUUUGCUAUUUACCCACUCGAUCUGUUCCUCGAUUGAUUGAUAUUUACUCCUUGAGAAUACUAUUGUCUUCGAUUCUCAGGGUAGUAUUCUUGUUUUUGCUCCUCAAAGCCAUACUGCUCAAGCUCGCAUUCGGAGCUAGCUUUACUUGGCGAACAAGGCAGGAACGCAAUUGUUAUUGCUGAUGGGAUGAAAGAUCAAGAAAUCAAUGAGAUUUCUGGCAAGAUUGUACGGUCCACAGUGCAAGGGAAACGAUGCGGUAUUCCUCACGUGUAUCCAGUGGCGGAGCCACAUGCAUCAAGAUGGGGGCCACUGAACCCAACAAAACUUUGAAAAUUAGUGUAUGUUAUUGAAUUUUAAUCUGUAUGCCCCCGUUCAGAAAUUUUUUUUGACCCCAUAUCUUUGUUUAACCAUUAAGCCCAUUUGAAAAUUUAGAAAAAAACUAUUAUAAUUAAGUCUACUUAAUAUUUAUGCCCCCAAUAAAAAUAUUUUUUGCCUCAGCCACUGCGUGUAUCCUAACGAUCUGUGCAGUAAUCCUUGGGAGCUUGCGGGCUUUGUCUUCAACAGGGAGCUCGAGUUGGAUGAAACACGCAGAUCAUGGGGUUUUUUUCUGUGAAAAUAACCCUGAGGAUUUUGGAACAAUCUGGAAACUAAGCGGGGUUCCAAAGAGAUUUCUGCUGGAAUCUACUGUCAAAAGUACAUCUUGAAACCGGAUUACGUAUCUCCUGGUGGUCGUUUUCUGCUAUCUGGAUGACGUUUGUGGCGGCUGAGCCUAAGGUCCUGAGAUUUUAUUGUAGGGACAGUGUGUACUCAGUUACUCAUAUAUAUAUCAAUCUUAUUCUUAUGACAGGUAGAGUCUGAGGAGGAUGGUAAGGUUACUGUUGUAACAUCUGAGUGAGGGAGAGACCUCCAAACGCAAACAAAUCGAGUGUGACCCUUCCCAACUGCCCAACAAGGUAACAUUGUACUUCUUCUUAACCUUGUCAUUUGAAUUAUGAUUAUGGAAUGCCUUCACCUUCAAACAGGUUACGAAGAUUGGCAGAGUUGAUGCAUGGGGCCAUGGAAAAUCCAAACACCAAUGUCUCUCAUUCACUACAUGUCUUGGCUCACAAAUCAGACAUGUGAGUUCCUUUGUUUUUCUACUUUCAAUGAUCUGUGGUAAGCUCGCUACAAGAUUUUCGCUUGAAAACGAAAACAAUAUAUUAAGUAGGGUCCUGGAACACUCUUUAGACCACAACUUUGUUGCACACACUCUCGCACAAACAACUAUUUGCCAUGUUUGGAAAAUAGAAUGAUGUUUGUUUUGCCAUUUGUCAUCAUUCUCAUCAUACGGUUUAUUCAAAUUUUCGGUUGUUCUCUGCACACUGACAGGUAUGUCUUCUGUUUGUACUCCCACAACGUCGCUGCUAAGGGAAAAUUCAUCGCAUUUGUGUCGACAGAUGCAGAGACUGAGAACCCUCAAACCGAACUAGAGGCUGGAAUUGAUCUUUUGUGUCCUGUUGAUGAGAUAUUCUUCUACCUGUAUGAUAGAUACAAGUCUCUCAACGUGCCAUCUUGGGGCAACUGCUUUAUAUCAACGGUGAGCCAGCUUAUUAUCUAUUUUAGAUUGGGUGGAUUCUAAGUAACUAACCCUUUCCUUGUUGGUCAUUAACAGAGCUAUGAUGCUACAGCACAACUGUUGCUCAUGUGUUGAACAUGUAUACCCUAAUCACCGGAGAGGUAAAUGUUCUGACAUUCUUCACUACGGAUGUAUGUUAGAUGCGAAUUGAGAUGGAGACAAGUCUCGUGUUUCUUUAUGUCACAUCAACUUUGUGUGUGGAAUUAAGUAAGUGCAAUUUGCUAGCUCUAUGCGAAAUUUCUGCACGAUUCUGAUUGUAUGAUUUGAGCUUUUGCAUUUCGAUCUUUAUGUAGAUGAGAUGUGAUGGAAAGUGAUUGCUUUCGUUUGAUUUCCCCACGAUCUUAUUUUUGAGAAGGCAUUGUCUUUGGUAGACUGAUUACAAUGUUAACAUGAUGAUGGCAUUCAUUAUAAUGUAUGUUAACGAUAUUAUGUUAAUGACUCAUGCACAAGUUUUCUGGUUAUGUUCAGGAUUACAACGAGAAGGACUCCAAAACACACAGCGGAAUGGUUGACAACACUAUUGCAAUUAUGAGCCACCCUAUUCCAAACACCAAAGACCCUUGUUCAGUGCAUGUCAUCAUUUCCCAGAGGCAGUUGGCCCACAAAUCAGACAUGUAAGUUCCUUUCUUUCUGUUUUCUCAAGCUCCAUUAUCAUAUUGACAUGUCUUUAAGCUUGCUAUAAGAUUUUCGUUUGUACACAGCUUGAAAAUGAAAGCAAUAUUAACGCUGGUCGUGAAUCCCUCUUUAGACCACAACUUCAUUGCAAAAACAGAUAAUUAUUUUGCCAUGUUUAGAAAAUACAAUGAUGUUUGUUUUGCCAUUUGUUAUCAUUCUCUUCAUAUUAUUAUUUUUCUUUAAAAUUUUCUGACGUUGGUUCUCACGUUGUGAGACUUGUUGUACACACUUACAGGUAUGUCUUCUGUUGUUCAUACUCCCACAACGUGGCCCCCCAAGGGAAAGUUCAUCAUCGCAUUUGUUUCUAACAGAUGCAGAGACUGAUAACCCUCAACCCUGAAGCAAGCUUCAUAUGAUUGAUAACGACGGUCUUUAGUAGAGCAAUUUUCUGUGCCACCAUAUAUGUGUUUUUGAAACUAAUGACCCUAAUCAGAUUUGGUUUGAUAUAUAUCUGUUUUCUAAAGCAGUUAUCCUAAUCUAGUAAUCACAUAAGAUUCCCAGUAACCAAGAACAACCAAGUAAUAAACGGAUUAUCCGAGUGAUAAUGAAUAGGCAGAAGAACAAAUGUUGUAAAAGAUUAUAAAUUCCACUUUAAAAAGAAGCAAAUAAAGUUAUGGGUUUACAAAAAGAAAAGCGGCAAGGGCAAUGUGCAUAAAUAAAUAUAUGAGUUUAAUGUUGCACAAUAUUUAUACAAGCUUAGAGUACAUCGAUCUUGCACUUGGACGAAACUUCCUUAUUGGUUUAUGAACUUGUGGCAUCAUCCAAGAAAACUCUUCAAGUGAUCCAACGCUUUAGCAGUUCAUCCACCUUCACUUGGAAGGGACGAAUGGUAGCAUUGCCUGCGUAACCCUCCAGACCCUGGAGAAGCAUCAAUCAAGAAAGAUGCGUGUAUAGGAUCAACGCAUAAUAAGUCCGUGACUGUGUAGAGAUAUUCGUUCAGAGUGUUUUUGCUUACCUGGAUGAUUAGAGUUUCAAGCUUUGGAGUCUGCUUAAUCAGAUACGGCAGCAGUUUCCAACCUCGUUUGUUGUUACUCCCAAAAUAUAACUUAACCAGAUUCUUGAACACCGGUAAAACUAGUCCAUCUUCAACACAUCGAGAAAUCACUUGCAACACACACACACAUAUGCUUUCGAGAAGCUCUUUCUCAAGUGAAAUACAUAAAGAAGACUUACAUCAGCAGAACCGGGAGAAAGAUGCAGGAUCUCCACGUUGCUUAUCCCUACAAUGAGACCCGAUGGAUCCGGAUCUUUGAUCCUUAUAGAAUAAAGAAUAUCUAGCCUAGUGAAGCAGUAAAAGGGUUAGAUAGAUAAUCUUCACUAGAGAUCCUCCGUGGAUCUUAAAUGAAGAAGAAUCAAGGACUAGAAGAUGGUAUAAAGGAUGAAGGACCACCUCGAAGCACAAGAUCCAACAGCUACAAUGGCUGACACAAGAGAGAGAUAGAGAUAAGGAUAAAAGAUGUUUUUGAUUGCCUUUCUACGUAACAACCAAAUCAGUACUUAAAGACGUGACCUCACAACGGUCAAAUAGUCAAACAGGCGACUAGAAACCGGUUUAUACAUACCGGGAAUUUAUUUGAAAUUGAAAACAUAACCGGAUAUCUCAAAUAUCCUGUAACAAUACUCCCCGUUUGAAAUCAUUCUUGUCCCCAAGAAUGGAAGUGAGGGUACUGGGCGAUGAAGUCUCUGUAGAACUCCCAUGUAGCUGUGUCAGCUGAUUUGCCCUUCCACUGGACCAGGACUUUGGUGACAGCGGCAUUUCUGUGCUUAACCAUUUUCUUCUCCAGAAUCCUGUCGGGUUCCUUUGUAAUGCCGGUAUCAAACCAGUACUGAGGGACGAUUGCAGAAGUUCCAGAGGGGUUGGGGCAUAAUUUCAGUUGGCUGACGUGAAACACGUUAUGGAUAGCUGCUGUAGGAGGAAGUUUCAAGCGAUAGGCCACCGCUCCUACUGAUUCCAGUACCUUAAAAGUACCAUAGAACUUUGGAGAGAGCUUGUGAGAGAGACCGCGUUUCUUGAGAGAUUGUUGGCGGUAAGGUUGAAGCUUUAGGUAGACAAAGUCUCCAACAGAGAAAGCUCGGGGAGAGCGGUGAGAAUCGGCGGUUUGUUUCAUCCUGUUCUGAGCUCGGAGAAGGUGAAACUUGAGCAGAGCUAUUACUUGUUCUCUCUUUUGUAGAGUCCUGUCAACCACAACGGAGGAACUUUCACCGGGGAGGUAGGGAAGGUGUAGUGGUGGAGGUUGGCCAUAGACAAUCUCGAAGGGAGUGGUGUUGAUGGCAGAGUGGUGUGUGGUGUUUUACCACCAUUAUGCUAGUGGAAGCCACUUACUCCAAGACUGAGGAGCAUCGGCUGUCAUACAACGCAGAUAGGUUUCGAGAGUUCUGUUGGUUACCUCUGUCUGACCGUCGGUUGGGGGUGAUAGGCUGUUGAGUAGCGCAAAUCCACACCAUGAACACAGAACAGUUCUUUCCAGACAUCACUGAGAAAGGUUGGGUCUCUGUCACUGACCACAUUUAGUGGUAAACCGUGCAGCUUGAACACAUUAUCCAAGUAAGCUUGAGCAACCUCGAUGGAAGUGUAAGGGUGCGAGAGGGGAAGGAAGUGGGCGUUCUUGCUCAGUCGAUCAAUAACCACCAGAAUGCAAUGUUUGCCUGAGGAAGGGGGCAAGCCUUCAACGAAGUCCAAACUGAUAGACUCCCAAACACCAUUCGGAAUAGGGAGAGGCUGAAGGAGGCCAGGUUUCGCUACUGUCUCAUACUUGUUGGCUUGACAAAUAGUGCAGUUCCUAACAUAGUUCAUGACCUCAAGACUCAUUUUAGGCCAGAAGAAGAGAGACUUAACGCGAUGGAGAGUCGCGUCUCGCCCAGAAUGACCGCCCACUGCUGAGUCAUGGAGCCAUUUGAGUAUAUGUGUCUUGAGUUCCACAUCAUUUCCCACCACAAGUUUUCCUUUGCGUCGUAGUUUACCAUUCACAAAGGAGUAUGAUGGGUGUGAAUGUGGGUUUGUUGAUAAAUCCCCAAUGAGCUUUCUGAGGUGAGGAUCGCGUUGCCACAACAACUGUAAAGAGUCGUAGAAGCCCUGAUGAGCCUGAGACAGUGUGAUGCUGAGGAGUUGAGAGCCGGAGACACGUGAGAGAGCAUCAUCAGCCACGUUGUCUUUGCCUUGUUUGUAAUGAAUCUCAAAGUCAUAACCCAUAAGCUUUGAGAGCCACAUGUGCUGGAAAGGAGUGGUAGUUUUCUUCUCAACCAUAUAUUUGAGGCUCUUCUGGUCGGUACGGAUGAUGAACUUCUUGUGUGCUAGAUAGGCAUUCCAAUACUGAACAGCAUGUACCACAGCCAGGAGUUCUUUUUCGUAGACAGAAAGAGAUUGAUGGCGGUGACCCAAGGCACGGCUUAUGUAGCAGAUAGGGUGGUUGUCUUGUAUUAGAACCGCUCCGAUGCCCAUGUUGGAGGAAUCAGUCUCAACGAUGAAAGUUUUGGAGAAAUCCGGGAGAGCAAGGACAGGUGCUGAGGACAGAGCAUUUUUGAGGUCUGUAAAAGCCUCAGUAGCAAUAUUACUCCAAUCGAACCCUUCCUUUUUAAGUAGGAUAGUCAGGGGGCGGGAGAUGAUGCUAUAACCCUUUAUGAAUCGUCUGUAGUAAUUGGCCAGGCCCAAGAAGCUUCGAAGUUGUUUCUGCGACGAGGGAGUUGGCUUGUUUCUGAUUGCUUCGAUCUUUUUGGGAUCAGUGCUCACGCCAGCAGCUGAAAUGAAAUGGCCGAGGGACUCGAUAGAAGUAGCACCGAAGGUACACUUAGAUGCCUUGAGGUAGAGUUGCUGGUGGCGAAGUAUAGCAAAGACCUCGUGAAGGUGUUGCAAGUGUUCUUCCCAACUGGAGCUGUACACGAGUAUAUCGUCGAAGAAUACCAGUAAGAACUUGCGAGAGAUCUCCUGAAAUACAUGGUUCAUCAAGCCUUGGAACGUACAGGGCGCGUUAGAGAGCCCAAAGGGCAUCACAAGGUACUCAUAGUGACCUGAGUGUGUCUUGAAGGCAGUUUUGUAGACGUCUUCAGGAGUCAUGCGCAAUUGGUGGAAACCAGCGCGCAGAUCAAGCUUAGAGAAGUAGCAAGCACCGCCCAAUUCAUCGAGAAGAUCUUCGAGGAGGGGAAUCGGAUACUUGUCCUUCACGAUUUGCUUGUUCAGCCCACGAUAGUCUACGCAGAGGCGCCAUGUUCCGUCUUUCUUUUUCACCAGAACAAUGGGUGAAGCGUAUGGAUUGGAGCUGCACUGAAUUGUACACUGAGCUAACAUGUCUUUGAUCAUACUGUCAAUAGCAUCUUUCUGAAGGGAGGAGUAGCGGUAAGGGCGUAAGUUCACCGGGUUAGCUCCUGCUUCCAAAGCGAUGUGGUGAUCAAAGCCUUCCCGAAAGGGCGGUAAGCCCACUGGUUCCUCAAAGAUGUCUGCAAAAGAGUCAAGGAGUUGUUGUAGGGCCGGGUCCUGAGAGAGUUUUGUAUGCUCAGCGGCGAUGAAUGAGAGGGAGGCGGCUUCUUGAAAGUGUGAUGAGGUAACAGGGUCCUCUAGUUCCCUAAUCCGAAGAAGAGAAAUCUGAGGUUGUUGGAGGGGGAGUUUGUUGAAGCUGCACCCGUUGAUCACUUUAUAACCAGACUUGGAAACACCGUGGAGGACGUGUUUGACCCCCUGGAAGUUGAAUUCCAUACGGAGGUUUAGGAAAUCCCAGAGGAUGGGGCCUAGUGUGCACAACCAUUGCACUCCGAGAACAAGCUCGCCGCAGUGUAGUGGAAUGGUGCGAAUCUCAGUUGUAAAUGAGUAACCUUGCACCAUCCAAGAGAACUUGUUGCACUUGAAUUUUGUUGUAAGGUCACAACCGUUAGCAGCUGCGACUGUCAUUGGCUUUAGGGGCUCAAGUUUACAGCCAAGGUCGUUGGCUACUUUAACGUCAAGAAAGUUGUGAGUACUUCCCGGGUCGAUGAGUAUGUGGAGCUUCCUCUUCCUGUACUGACCAACCACGCGCAUACAGUUGAAGCUAGAUGAACCGCUAAGAGCUUUGACAGAGAUAGUCGGAGUGGUGUUGUCAAUAUCCUCCACAGUAACUUCAGUGAUGUGCGGUUGCUCAUCAUCAGACGCAUCAUCACCGUUGUCAUCUCCUUCCAUUACAUAGAUGUGGGACCUUUUGUGUUUCAGUUGGUGCCCUGGUGUGAAAGCUUCAUCACAGAACAUACAGAGGCCUUGAGCACGGCAGUCCUGCAUUUCCUGGUAUGUAAACUUUCGAGGAGGUCUGUCAUUAACAGAGCGAGGGAUGAAGUUGGGUUUAGGGGUUUGUGUUUUAGGAUCAGGGGCGGGUAGUAAGGGUGUGGUUUCUUUGGGUUUGUAGGGGGUGAAGCUAUUUGGUUUGUGGUGAGGAUUGAAGGGAGCUCUUUGUUGUUUUGGUGGUGUUUGCGACAGAGCAGAUUCAUGAAGCUUCGCGAUCUUCGCAGCAGCAGCUAUUGUUGUGGGUUCGAACUGACGUACAUGGAGAGCAAGGUGCUGGUUCAUGUUCGUAAGGAAGAUGCUGAGUGCGUGAGCUUCAGGGAGCGCGAUUCUGGUUUUAGCGUUCUCAAACUUAUCCAGAUACGUCUCCACAGAAUCAGUGCCUUGCUUUAGAGCCACCAACUCGGAAAGGGGGUCAUCAAACAGGUCGCUGAAGCGACUCGAGAUGGCAACAAUAUAUUCCGUCCAAGAAGGAAAAAGGCCAAACCUUUCGGUCAUGAAGUUGAAGUGCCACUGGAGAGCUUUGCCACGGAGGUGCAUCGCAGCGAGGCGAACGCGUAGCUCAGGAGGUGUGUUGUCCAUUCCGAAGAAUAGAUCGCACUGGUAGAUCCAGUGGCGUAGAUCUGAACCAUCGAACAGGGGGGAGGUGAUUUUGGAGAGGCGUGAGGUAAGGCCCUGUUGUUGAUGACGGUGGUGACCAUAGUCGUUCAGAUCUGUAUGAGGGCGGUGCAACGGCGCCGGAUCUGGUGGGUCUGGAGGGCGGUUAGAGUCACCGGAGUUUGGGUCAGCGGUGGGGGAGGUGUAGGAACCGUCAGCGGGUUGUUUACCCAGAGCAGUCGUCUGAGAGAAGAAGGUAAAGAUCGUUGUUUCCAUCUUGGAAAAAUGAGUAUCCCAUGAGUCUGAGCAGAUUUUGAGCUCAUCGGACUGUCGAGCCUGAGCCAGACGCAUUCCCUCGAGCUGUUCUGCUACCGAUCGUUCUUGUAGUCUCGUUUCUACCAUCGUCCGUGAGGAUCGUUUGGCUCUGAUACCAAAUGAAGCAGUAAAAGGGUUAGAUGGAUAAUCUUCACUAGAGAUCCUCCGUGGAUCUUAAAUGAAGAAGAAUCAAAGACUAGAAGAUGGUACAAAGGAAGAAGGACCACCUCGAAGCACAAGAUCCAACAGCUACAAUGGCUGACACAAGAGAGAGAUAGAGAUAAGGAUAAAAGAUGCUUUUGAUUGCCUUGCUACGUAACAACCAAAUCAGUACUUAAAGACGUGACCUCACAACGGUCAAAUAGUCAAACAGGCGACUAGAAACCGGUUUAUACAUACCGGGAAUUUAUUUGAAAUUGAAAACAUAACCGGAUAUCUCAAAUAUCAUGUAACACCUAGCUUCCACUAGGGAAGCCAAGUUCACAUAUGUGUACUCCUCUAACGCAUAGUCGCGGUAGUUGAGGGACACAAGACUUGGGGUGUCAAACGACAUACCACCCCUUAAAAGCUCAAAGUCAUAGUAAAUUGAUAGCUUCUUGAUGUUCGAACUACAUAUACAGAAUGAGGUUCCUUCACAAUUUUCGUGAUGUACAUAUAACUCCUCCAGCACAGGACAACCACUUAGAAGCACAUCACACAUAUCGUCACCAUCAAAAACAAUAGAGUCUAUGACGAGGCUCUUAAGCGCUGGAAGAUACGCAUCUGGUUCGAACUUGUCGAGAUAUAUUUGUGUUCCCAGUGUCAGCUUAACCAGAGUCUUGCUCGUUGAGAGCUCAGAGGGCAGAAAGAGUUCAUGCUUCCUCUUUAGACUUAGGCUCAUCUCCAAAACACCACGCUCUAGUGCAUUACAUAUCCAGGCAGACAAAUAGGCCAUCUCUCCGCUCUCGUGAAUGUGAAGCUUUAGAGAGAACUUAUUGAUGGGAGAACCACGUUGCAAAGCCAGUGUUCUGUCCACAAAGUGUCUGAAGCUCUCUCGGAUCACAGGCCACUCUUCUGGUUGAAGCAACACAGAGUCAUCAAAAUCAAGAUUAUGCACUAAUCUAAACACAUGUCUCCACUUUUUAGCAAGAACAGAUGUUGAAGCAGCAUGUUUGGUCGGAAGUAGGGACAAGAUCUUUCCCAGGACCUCGUCAGGAAGCCAGCUUAUUGCAUCUCGCAAGCCAGCGUUGACUUCCAUACAGACAGAACCCAGUUUCUUUUGCUUGAAAAAUGAAGUGAAGUGAGCUCAAAAUAAGAGGAAAGAACAAAGACCAGAGAAGCUAAAGGUUCUGAAUUAAAAGCAUGAUAGAUUCAAGCUCGGGCAACACAAGUGGCAAACUACAACAGUUUCAUCGAAACUCAAGCUAUCUAUAAGAGAUUGGAAGCUCAAAAGAAUCACACUUUGAGCGCUUGUAAGGACAGAGUAAACCAAUAUGGAUACAACAAAGAAGAUGUACAAUUCACAUCAAUGGUAUUCCACAGUGGAAAGAAAACUAAACUAAAAGAGGGUUUUUUACAGCUUCAACCUUUCGUUUUGAACCGGCAGAGGACGUUAAACAGAUGAUGAUAAUUUUUUUUUUUGGUGAAUACAAGGGAGGAAAACCUCCCAAGUUUAAUUUAUUUCAAAACAAAAAAAACCUACUACUCGACCACAUGCCUCAACUUAGGCGGGCCUGAACCAUCCUCAAUCAACAAGAGACUAACUUCUACUGGAACAACAUCAAAAAUAUGGAAUCCUAACGCUAGAGAAAAAGCAUAAGUAGCCAAGCCAUCUGCAAGACCAUUAGCUUCUCUGUAGACGUGUUUAAAGCGGACUAUCCAGUCCCUAGAGAUAAAGCCAUAGCACAAUCGUACUAGGAAGGACAAAUGAUGCGUCUCCGCAAUCCCUGUCUGAAAGAAACCAACCACCACAGCAGAGUCCACUUCUACCUCCACACACCUCACUCCUUUAUGCCAAGCAAUCAACAGACCAUAGUAGACACCCCAAAGCUCAGCCAAAGGUGCAGAGCAACGCCCGGUAUUCAGACCAAAACAACAGAGCCAACUACCAUUCUCAUCUCUCAACACACCGCCAGCCAUAGCAAGCCCCGGAUUCCCACGCGAAGCCCCAUCCGUAUUCACCUUAAACCAUCCUGUUGGCGGCUUUUCCCACUUAAUCCACCUCUCUACUCUCGUUAUCCUCACCGCUUCUUUCUUCGUACUGCACAUGUUGAUUUCCUUGGCAUGUUCUUUAACAAACUGCACUCGGUCCCUACACAGCCGCUUCACCCCAAAGACGUUCCCGCACCGCCACUUCCAAGCCCACCAAAUUGCUACUGCAAAAAGAACUACCCAAGGACCCGUCUCAGUUUUAACCUCCGAGCUCGAAAGGUUAUCAUAAGUCCAUUCAAACAGAGACUGCCGAAAGAAACUUUGCCUCUUAACCCUCGGUAUAAUACGGUCCCAUAUACCUUGCAUAGCUGGACAAUCCCUAAGAACAUGUAUUAUCGACUCCACACCCCCUCUACACACUUGGCAGACAUUAGAAACCCCAAUAUGCCUUCGAAAUCUCUCCUCAUUUGUCAUGAUAGCUUGCUGAGAAACCAGCCACAAGAAAACGCGUAUCCUCUCCGGUACUUUCAGCCUCCAUAUACAGUUAUAAAACUGUUCCAUAUCCUGUGUAAGGACAUUUUCUCUUGUUAACAGUGCAUAAGCUGAUGCAACUAAGAAACUACCAUCCCGAGUCUCUCCCCAGACCAACUUAUCCUUAGCUCCUGUUACUGUGUCGAGAACCACUGAUCUAAGUUCCAGCCUCUUAUCCUCAUCAACAUACUGCCCAAUAACAUCAAAAUUCCAUCCCCUAUCCUCCUGCCACAACUCAUUAGCCUUGAUAUUCAUGAGCGCGUCUGAAAGAUGUCCAUGCACAGAAUCUACCAGAGCUUCAUUACCCAACCACUUAUCCGUCCAAAAACGAAUGCUUGCACCAUCACCAACAACCCAAGCAUAACCCUUUACAAUCACCUCUAAGAUUCCGAGCCCCACACUCCGCAUAGUCGAAGACCAUGAGCCAGUAGAAGCAAGCCAAGAUAAAUCUUGUAGAUCACCGACGUUAUACUUACAACGCAGAACUUGGGCCCAAAGGCUAGUUCUAUCAUUAAACAGUCUCCAGCUUACCUUUGCUAGUAACGCCAUAUUCAUCUCCUUAGCAUACCUGAUCCCCAAACCACCAUCCUGUUUUGGUUUGCAUAUUCGAUCCGCGUAUCCUCUCCGGUACUUUCAGCCUCCAUAUACAGUUAUAAAAUUGUUCCAUAUCCUGUGUGAGGACAUUUUCUCUUGUUAACAGUGCAUAAGCUGAUGCAACUAAGAAACUACCAUCCCGAGUCUCUCCCCAGACCAACUUAUCCUUAGCUCCUGUUACUGUGUCGAGAACCACUGAUCUAAGUUCCAGCCUCUUAUCCUCAUCAACAUACUGCCCAAUAACAUCAAAAUUCCAUCCCCUAUCCGCCUGCCACAACUCAUUAGCCUUGAUAUUCAUGAGCGCGUCUGGAAGAUGUCCAUGCACAGAAUCUACCAGAGCUUCAUUACCCAACCACUUAUCCGUCCAAAAACGAAUGCUUGCACCAUCACCAACAACCCAAGCAUAACCCUUUACGAUCACCUCUAAGAUUCCGAGCCCCACACUCCGCAUAGUCGAAGACCAUGAGCCAGUAGAAGCAAGCCAAGAUAAAUCUUGUAGAUCACCGACGUUAUACUUACAACGCAGAACUUGGGCCCAAAGGCUAGUUCUAUCAUUAAACAGUCUCCAGCUUACCUUUGCUAGUAACGCCAUAUUCAUCUCCUUAGCAUACCUGAUCCCCAAACCACCAUCCUGUUUUGGUUUGCAUAUUCGAUCCCAGGCGACCAAAUGCUGCUUUCGUUGUUCACUCGUGCUUCCCCAUAUAAAAUCCCUUGAUAACUUAUCCAAAGCAUUAAGUGUAGAUACAGGUAGCUGAAUAUUGCUCAUACUGUGAACUGGGGUAGAGGACAACACAGCUUUAGUUAAAGUAAUCCUACCAGCCCGGCUCAACAUCUUCCCUUUCCACCCUGCUAACCGCGAGGAGACUCUCCCAAUAACUUCACUAAACGUAUCUUUAUUGAUCCGUUUAUGAAGGAUCGACAUUCCCAAGUACUUCCCAAGAUCAUGUGUGGAUUGAAUACCGCUUUCAGAUGUGAUACGAUUACUCAAAUCCAGAGCCACAUUCUUGGAGAAAAAGAUCUUGGACUUCUCUAAGCUCACCUUCUGGCCUGAGGCAUUGCAGAACCUCUCAAGGACUCUGCGAAUCACUCUGAUCUGCGCUACAGAUGCCUCCGCAAACAACAGAUGAUGAUAAUUUGAUUCUUCGAUCCAGAUCUAUCUACCGUCAAAGAUGAUGAAGUUAUGGAAGAGAACAAGAUAAAAAGUAAAAGAGAUAUUAAUAAUUAAAAAAAAGCUAAUUAGAAUUUUUAUUUUUGUUAAAUUUAUAUUUGAUAUUUUUUAAUCUCAGAAAUCUUAUUAAAACUACUCGGACAUGCUGAAUACAUUAUUUAAAUUGUUGAAUACUUAUUUAAACUUAUUUAAAUAUUUAUUGAAAAAAAUUAAAACAUUACAGGGAUUGUUUGUUAUUGAAUUUAUUCAAUAUAUUAAAAGCCAAGAAAAUGGAAUCCAUAAUAAUAUGUAUUGUUUUUUUAUUGGUUGUUGAUAUUAGUUGGAUUUUUCAUAUUCAGCUUUUUUUAUUAUAAGUUAUUUAUUUCACAUCAAAUUAUUAUUUACUAGAGUAGGUCUACGUAUUAUUUACUAGGGUACAUCCGCGCUACGCGCGGAAUAUGCUGUAAGUGUAAUAUAUCAAUAUAUAUAUUUUAUAAAUUAUAAUUGCUUGAGAUUAUAGGUUUGUGGUUUAAAUAGAUAUUUGUGUUUUUUUAGUUCUUUAUAUUUAGAUCAUUUUGCCAUAUUUUUAUGGUUUUUAUAAGGAUGAAAUCACAAUUCAUAUGAUUAAUAUAUAAUUCAAUGGUCUAUGAAUAAUGGGGUUAUGGGUCUUGUUAUAGUAUUUCUUAUGAAUGGUGUAAACUAUUUUUUUAUUUCCUAAUAACGAAACGAUUUUCAUAACACGCGGAUUAUAUAUCUAAAUUUGUUAAACUUAUAAAAUUUAUCCAUAAUUGAUGUUUUUGUCUUUUUCAUUGGUUUCAAGAAAGAGUUUAACUAUCAUUUGUAAUUUUAAAAUAAUUAUACUUUUAGCUUAAUAUUCUCGUUAGAAUACAGUUUUUUAGUAUGUUUUAAGUUUUAUUUUCUAUUUUUGAUUUUGGUAUCUUAUAAGAGAUUGUAACACAUUUUUUUUUAAACUAACACAUUUAAGUUUCGCCAAUUAUUUAUUUAAAGAUAAAGUUUAAUUUGAUGGCUAGAUAACUCAAAAUAAGUCUCAUGUGCAAAUAAACAAAACAUGGAACAAUGUACAAAGAAACUUAGAGAAUGAUGUGAGAAUAUGUACGAGGAGACCUCUAGUAAAUCUUUUUGUGUUUUGGACCUGAUAUUUCCGCCUAAAAUUUUAAGAAAAUUUUUUUUUCCACUGAAAUAUUAUUUGUUUCAAAUAAAAUAAAAGAAUAAAUUUAAAAUUUUACAUAAUAAUAAUUUUCUAAAACUAAAACUGAAAAUCUAAAAAUCUAAAAAUAAAACAUGAAUCCUAGUUCUUUUGAAAAAAAGAAAAAAAAAACUCUGGUUCUCUCAACUUAUUUUCUCUCACCCGUCACACAAACUCAUUUCAGAUCUUUAGCCGCCACACCAGAUCUAUCUCCCGUGCCUCUCUCUGACACCGGAGUUCUCUAUCUCUAGCCGGACCUCUCUCACGCUCCCUCUAUCAUUUGUAAUUUUAAAAUAAUUAUACUUUUAGCUUAAUAUUCUCGUUAGAAUACAGUUUUUUAGUAUGUUUUAAGUUUUAUUUUCUAUUUUUGAUUUUGGUAUCUUAUAAGAGAUUGUAACACAUUUUUUUUUAAACUAACACAUUUAAGUUUCGCCAAUUAUUUAUUUAAAGAUAAAGUUUAAUUUGAUGGCUAGAUAACUCAAAAUAAGUCUCAUGUGCAAAUAAACAAAACAUGGAACAAUGUACAAAGAAACUUAGAGAAUGAUGUGAGAAUAUGUACGAGGAGACCUCUAGUAAAUCUUUUUGUGUUUUGGACCUGAUAUUUCCGCCUAAAAUUUUAAGAAAAUUUUUUUUUCCACUGAAAUAUUAUUUGUUUCAAAUAAAAUAAAAGAAUAAAUUUAAAAUUUUACAUAAUAAUAAUUUUCUAAAACUAAAACUGAAAAUCUAAAAAUCUAAAAAUAAAACAUGAAUCCUAGUUCUUUUGAAAAAAAGAAAAAAAAAACUCUGGUUCUCUCAACUUAUUUUCUCUCACCCGUCACACAAACUCAUUUCAGAUCUUUAGCCGCCACACCAGAUCUAUCUCCCGUGCCUCUCUCUGACACCGGAGUUCUCUAUCUCUAGCCGGACCUCUCUCACGCUCCCUCCUCUCUCACGCUCCCUCCUCUCUCUUGCUCGCCUUCAGGACUCCUCUCUAGCCGGAUUCUCUCUCUCUCUCUCUCUCUCUCUCUCUAGACGGACCUCCGUCACGGUUAACUCUCUCUCUCUCUCUCUCUAUGUCUGUGUCUAUGUGUGUGUCAGUUUUGAUUCCGAUUUGUUUUUUGUUGGUGGUGGAGGAGAUUGGGCAUGAAGCCUCACGGAGGAGGCUCCUCGCCGUGACUUUUCCGACGUUUCUUUCCAUCCCAGCAACCUCAGUAAGUUGGAUAGUUAUUAGAUGUUCAUUGUUGCCUACUAAAACAGUUUCGUUACAGUAUCACAAAGUUUUUAACUUUUGAUGUUGUUUGUUUGUUAUCUAUUGCAGAUUGAAGCAUCUGGUGGCGAUUGUUCAGAAGAUAAACUAUAGAUUUUCAAAGGUUGAAACUUUGACGGUGGAGGAUGGAGAAGAAGCCGCCGGCGGUGGAGGCUUCAGCGGGAAGGACGGCGGCGAGCAGACAGCGGUAAUCUUUCCUCAGCCUCGUCCGCUGUUCAUAUCCAAGGUAGUUUUUUUUCUUUUUGGGUUUGUUUCUUUUGUUUCAGUGAGUUUUCAUUUGUUUAUGCUGAGAUCUGUAUUAAUGUUUCCAAAGUUUUGUGGUUUUUUUUUGUUUUUGUUUUGAUGAAUCGGCAUUUGGGGUUUUGAAUGUUUAUGCAAAGAGAAACUUUUAUGGUGUUUAGAAAAAAACUUUUAUGAUUUGAGAGAUUUCGGGCUUGUGUGUGUUUUGAUCCCUUUAUGUUGUUAUUGUGACAUAUCUCAGGCAGUGUGGGUGAUCUAUGGGUUGGUUGAAUCGAACAAACAAAAGGCCCAAAUUAAAAAACAAAUACGGCUGAUCGAAAAGCGAAGAUAGGCGCGACAACUUGCGUUCAAUGGUCUAUGAAUAAUGGGGUUAUGGGUCUUGUUAUAGUAUUUCUUAUGAAUGGUGUAAACUAUUUUUUUAUUUCCUAAUAACGAAACGAUUUUCAUAACACGCGGAUUAUAUAUCUAAAUUUGUUAAACUUAUAAAAUUUAUCCAUAAUUGAUGUUUUUGUCUUUUUCAUUGGUUUCAAGAAAGAGUUUAACUAUCAUUUGUAAUUUUAAAAUAAUUAUACUUUUAGCUUAAUAUUCUCGUUAGAAUACAGUUUUUUAGUAUGUUUUAAGUUUUAUUUUCUAUUUUUGAUUUUGGUAUCUUAUAAGAGAUUGUAACACAUUUUUUUUUAAACUAACACAUUUAAGUUUCGCCAAUUAUUUAUUUAAAGAUAAAGUUUAAUUUGAUGGCUAGAUAACUCAAAAUAAGUCUCAUGUGCAAAUAAACAAAACAUGGAACAAUGUACAAAGAAACUUAGAGAAUGAUGUGAGAAUAUGUACGAGGAGACCUCUAGUAAAUCUUUUUGUGUUUUGGACCUGAUAUUUCCGCCUAAAAUUUUAAGAAAAUUUUUUUUUCCACUGAAAUAUUAUUUGUUUCAAAUAAAAUAAAAGAAUAAAUUUAAAAUUUUACAUAAUAAUAAUUUUCUAAAACUAAAACUGAAAAUCUAAAAAUCUAAAAAUAAAACAUGAAUCCUAGUUCUUUUGAAAAAAAGAAAAAAAAAACUCUGGUUCUCUCAACUUAUUUUCUCUCACCCGUCACACAAACUCAUUUCAGAUCUUUAGCCGCCACACCAGAUCUAUCUCCCGUGCCUCUCUCUGACACCGGAGUUCUCUAUCUCUAGCCGGACCUCUCUCACGCUCCCUCCUCUCUCACGCUCCCUCCUCUCUCUUGCUCGCCUUCAGGACUCCUCUCUAGCCGGAUUCUCUCUCUCUCUCUCUCUCUCUCUCUCUAGACGGACCUCCGUCACGGUUAACUCUCUCUCUCUCUCUCUCUAUGUCUGUGUCUAUGUGUGUGUCAGUUUUGAUUCCGAUUUGUUUUUUGUUGGUGGUGGAGGAGAUUGGGCAUGAAGCCUCACGGAGGAGGCUCCUCGCCGUGACUUUUCCGACGUUUCUUUCCAUCCCAGCAACCUCAGUAAGUUGGAUAGUUAUUAGAUGUUCAUUGUUGCCUACUAAAACAGUUUCGUUACAGUAUCACAAAGUUUUUAACUUUUGAUGUUGUUUGUUUGUUAUCUAUUGCAGAUUGAAGCAUCUGGUGGCGAUUGUUCAGAAGAUAAACUAUAGAUUUUCAAAGGUUGAAACUUUGACGGUGGAGGAUGGAGAAGAAGCCGCCGGCGGUGGAGGCUUUAGCAGGAAGGACGGCGGCGAGCAGACAGCGGUAAUCUUUCCUCAGCCUCGUCCGCUGUUCAUAUCCAAGGUAGUUUUUUUUCUUUUUGGGUUUGUUUCUUUUGUUUCAGUGAGUUUUCAUUUGUUUAUGCUGAGAUCUGUAUUAAUGUUUCCAAAGUUUUGUGGUUUUUUUUUGUUUUUGUUUUGAUGAAUCGGCAUUUGGGGUUUUGAAUGUUUAUGCAAAGAGAAACUUUUAUGGUGUUUAGAAAAAAACUUUUAUGAUUUGAGAGAUUUCGGGCUUGUGUGUGUUUUGAUCCCUUGAUGUUGUGAUUGUGACAUAUCUCAGGCAGUGUGGUUGAUCUAUGGGCCGGUUGAAUCGAACAAACAAAAGGCCCAAAUAAAAAAAAUACGGCUGAUCGAAAAGCGAAGAUAGGCGCGACAACUUGCGUUAAAUGAAGUGCUGCGUUUUGGCAAGCGGGACACGUGUCGACACUCUAGGACUCGACUUUGUGACUUGGAUGCUGAGGUGGCGCAACAUGAAGGAGACAAACAUUUAUAUAUAUAUAUAUAGAUUUUAAUAUAUUGUAUCAAAAUUUAUAGUUUUUGACGGUUAGGUUUAUAAGAUUUGGACAUAUACAAAAAAUAUUUUAUCAUAAGUUGUAAACAUUUUUCAAUCAUUAUAUUUUUACUAAAUAUUUCAUAAAAUUUCAACUUUAACUAUUUUUAUUUAAUUUAAUAAUUAUUUUUUUUAUAAAAAAUGUCUUAAUUGUUAUUAUUUAGUUAUAAAAUCAAAAUAUGAAACAUUAAAUAAAAAUAAAUAGAGAAAGUGUUGAUUUUUUAUCUAAGAAAUUAUUAUGAAUUAUAAAUAUUAGAUGGAUAUGUAGAAGAAAGAGAAUAUGAUGUGUUAAAGUAUAAGUUUAAUAUAGGGUGUUAAAAAAAUUAAACCAAUGCACAUAGUCUAUAUCUACUAAAGAUUUAUGCAAUUAUGGGAGUGACUGGAAUGGACGGUAAAUUUAUGUUUUUGACUGUAGAAGAACAACACUAUGGGUUCUGAUCAAUUCAUAGGUUUACCAACCGUUUUGUAUUGUACCGAUGUGAAUAACAACAAACUUUUUUUGCAUAUAUCUAUGUAUCUAUAUGUUUUGUUACUAUUUAAACCGCAGUGCAGUUGUUUCAUAGUUGUUCUGCGGGUUAACAUUCGAACCCAUAAACAUAGAUACAACUAAUUCUCAAUGGAUAUAGGUACGAUACUUAAAAUAAAUCUCCUCAAAAUUUUUUGUCAAAAAAAAAUCUCCACAACGCAUAAUUUAUCUAAAUUAAAACAUCUAUUGAUUUUUUUUUGGUCGGCCAAAUAAAACAUCUAUUGAUAUUUAUAGUUAAAACUUAUAAACAAAUGUGUCAAAGUAACUAAAAAUCUGUAAAGAAAAACCUGUAGGAGAGGUAAAAAGAAGUUUCAAAUGGUUCUGAUCUGGUACACUAGCAAGUAUUAUUGAGUUUAUGAACCUAUAUUAUUCAAACGCGUAUUAAAAUGUAAAACUCAUUAUUUUAAUAUAUAACGUCCAUGUCAGCUUAUUAGAGAUUCUUGCUUACGCAAUGCCCAUGCUAAAAGUAAAGUAGAGAGUAGAAGUCAAGGGGAGAAGAACCUAGUGAUUGUGGAAGAAGACUACGCCACACGCGCACACGGAUUGAUUUUCUUUUGUUUACUAAAUCCACAAAAUAAAACCCAGAAAAUUCAAACCUUCCAAAAGCAGCAACUUGCCUCUCUCAUUUGUCAGCUCCCUUUAUAAAUAAAAAAAAGUCUCCUCUUUUUAUUCUUUACAGCAUUUUACAAAAUCCCUUAAUUCACUGAACCCUCCUCAUAUUCUCUGACCCUCUCUAAAGUCUUUUAUUAAUAGCCUCAAAGAUUUACUAUUUAAAGUAUCAUAAGCUACUAGUAGUUUUAUACAUAUUCAAAGAUCAGACCAAACCCACUUCUUGUUUUGUUUUAGGACAAAGAAAUCUUGGUCUUCUUCAUCUCUUGCAUAAAAGUACUUCCUUUCAAAGAUCAGACCAAACCCACUUCUGGGUCGUGGUGGUUUGCUUUAAAGCUGCAUUGGUCAACUAGAAACUUCGAAAAGGUAGUUGCUUUAGCUUGCAUUCAAGUCAUGGACGUCGGAGAAAGAAAUAACCGGAAAAACGUCAACUUCAACCGUCCGCCGGCAAUGGUGUUGGAGAACAGCAAGCAUGAGUUACGUCGGACGCAGAAAAGGUUGAUGAUUCCGGCAAGUUAUUUCAGUUUAAAGUCUCUGGUUCUGCUGGUGGGUCUAACGGCGUCUAUGUUGAUCCUUCCGUUAGUUUUGCCGCCGUUACCUCCUCCACCCUUUAUGCUUCUUUUGAUUCCGAUUGGUAUUAUGGUCUUACUAGUCGUUCUUGCCUUCAUGCCUUCUUAUUCUAAGGCCAAAGAUGUAACUUGCACUUUUACGUAAAUCCCUUAUUAUCCCCUAUAUAUUAUUUGAGAAGUAUUACAACUUUUUUUAUAGUCACAUGUCAUCACUAGAUUGGUAUUAUGGUCUUACUAGUCGUUCUUGCCUUCAUGCCUUCUUAUUCUAAGGCCAAAGAUGUAACUUGCACUUUUAUGUAAAUCCCUUAUUAUCUCCUAUAUAUUAUUUGAAAAGUAUUACAACUUUUUUUUGUAGUCACAUGUCAUCACUAGAAUGAUUCUUAGAAUCAUUAGAGAAAUGUCCAUCUAAUUAUAUAAUAAGCUUUUUAUUAAACUAACAAUAAAUUCAUCAUUAAUGUACUUUAUUAUUUCCUUAAAUAAAAUUUACGGAAUUGCCUAAUAUAGCUAAAGUAUAUAUGACAAUUAAUGAUUUUGAAUAAUAAAGAUUUGAUGAAAAAUAGUGUAUCUUCUAUCAUAUUUGUUUAAUUUUAAACUAGUAAAUAAAUUAAACAACCACAAUAACCAUAUAAUAAAAUUUUAGAUUUUUAUGUAUAUUUUAUAUUUUGAAUUUUUACAAACAACUAUAAAUUACUAAACUGUUAAAAGUCUCACAUUCACAUUUUAUGAUCCAUGGUUUAAAAUUUUUGUUAUGACAAAAUACAAAUGAUUAUAAAAAUUAUAUAAGUAAAAAGCCUAAUUUAAUUAAUUAUUAAGAUUAAUAUAUAUAUCGUUUUAAAUUAAACUCUACACCAUAUAAAAUACAAUAUUUUAGUUUCAAAAUUCACUUUGAACAACCUUUUUGAUAAAAAUUUUGAACGAUCAUUGACAACUUAUUUUUUAAAAAAAUUAUAAAUUACUAAAACUAUUAAUCCCACAAUGAAAAUUUUGUUAUCAAUAAUUUAAAUUUUUUUUCUAUAAAAGAUACAAAUGAUCAAAAAACUAUAUGAAUAGAAAUCAUCAUUUAAUAGACAUUAAUAUUAAAAAUAUACUAAAAUAUAUUAUCUAUGUUAGUAUCAUUUAAAUUUAAUAACAUAUCCUAUCAAAUAUAAAAAAAAAAUAUUUUUUGGAUUAAUAAAAUUGAUUUAUAUGUUCGCACCAAUUUAAUUAUAUAUUUAAUAGUUACUGACUUUUAAUUAUUUAAUAUAUAUUUAUUAUUUCAUAAUAUGUAAAAAUAUUUAAUACAUAAAAUAAUUUAUAUAUAUGAUGUUGAUUCCGCGCCUUGCGCGGAUCUUAACCUAGUUGUAUUUUAUUUCAUUACAUUUUAAAUUUUAAUACACAACCAGUCAACUUGGUUUCUGAUGAAACAUGAAGAAACACCAAGAUUACUGACAAGUCAUAACAGAAGAGAUUAAGGAGACUAAUCAAGAUUAGUGACAAGUCAUAAUAAAAGCAAGAGUAAUAACCAGCAAUUUGAAGGCAGAGGUUAUCCCAGGAAAGAUCUUUAGAUAUUGUUAAGGCGGUCUCAUUGAGUCUAACUAUAACCUCGUUGGAACGUUGGUGUGACUUGUGAGUCUCAGUGUUGAGCAAGUACCGUACCAUACUGAAAGAACGUCAAAAGCAACAAAAACAUGUAUAUUUUAGACUCGAUUUGAGACUCAGAAUGCCAUAACAUCAUAUUAAUACGAUCUCAUGAUACAAACGUAAGUUUAGAAAUUACAUCAAGUUAUCAAGCCUAUGGACCAAGACCUUGUAUCUGAAUUGCGUAAGAAGUAUCACACUUACCAAGAUAACGCCUAGCUAGCCCAGGUGAUGUGGUACAAUACAACUCUUUCCGGUCAAGUAUAAUGUAACUGAACUAAUGUUGUGCGAUAUUCUUGAAUGAUUAAUUUCAUAGGAGCUAGGACGCAAAGAGCAUAUCCCUAGAGCUUUUGUUAUUAAUUGAAUAAUUUAAAUCAAAACAGGAAUACAACGUUCGUAAAAGGAUCUCACGUUCGUAAAAGGAUCUCACUCGCUAGAUAGUACUCUACGUCAGCAUCAGUAUCCCUUGGAUCUAACAUUUGUAUCACACUACUUAAACAGAAGCUAGAUACAUUAGUUCUCUUCGUCAGCGUCAGUUUCCCUUUCACGACGCUUCACAUCUUGUGUUGUCGAUAGCGAAACCACCAGCACAUAUCUUUGAUCAAUACCAAGCCAAGCAUGGUUCAGGAAAAGAAAAAUAUUUCUCUAGGCAGUCAUCAGGCACUACUAAGACGACAUUGUAAUCUCUUAAACAGAUAGACUCAAGAAGAGUGACGAAGUCCGACUCUUCUUCGUCUGGUAUAGCUUUUGAAAUCACCAUCAAAUUUUUCUCUCCUCCUGCGCGUUUAUGCCACACCGCCCAGGUAAUCAUGUCUUGUAACAUAUUAUUAAGCCUCAUACGUUUCUCACCUAAAGUUGAGAUAACCAUUCCGGCUGCGCCAUAAUAAUCAAACGUAUCUUCUGACGCCACCAGAAAAAAGCUCUCUGCGUAGAGAACGUUCGACUCCCUCUGUAACGGCCCGAUCCCUGGCGUCCGACCGGAGUUAUCGAAAGGGCGUUAUGGACACGUGUCUACUCAUUUAGACAACCAUACGUGUCCCGUUACUGCUCCCAAGAGUCGACGGACGCAUAACCUUCUUUGAAAUACCGUCACACCCACAUUCAUAUACUUCUACUUACAGUCCUGCACACAGGGAAAUGGAAAGGGAGGGAUGAGUAACAAGUUACUCAGUGAAGUGACUCUAGAUCAACCUGCCCGCAUGACACUCUAUACUACUCUAUGCGGGAAGUAGGAUUGACUAGCCACUACAAUCAGGUAAUGUAUUUUCAUCAUUUCAUAUCAUCAUCAUUAUUUCCAAACAUUCAACUCCAUACAUUUCUAGCAACCUAGCGAUCAAUCAAUACAAUGAUCCCACUCAUUGCCACACACGUUAAACCCUAGACUGAACCGUCUCCUCAUACUAGACCGACUUGAUCCUACGACACCUUUAACUCCCCGUUACCCGACCAUGAUGCACGUUUUUAUAUCCCGCCUCUCGCGGUUGGCACACGUUUUUAUCAUCAGUGGGUAGCUCCUACUAGGCUUCUACCCCAUAUUCUUGUGGAUUGGCCACAUCACCUAUGGGUGCUUCCAUAUUCUUGUGGAUUCGCCACAUCUCCUAUGGAUACCUAGCGAGAACUACUGCCACACAUACUUUCCUUAGACUCUAUAUGCUUCCCCACCCAUGCUUAACCGUAACAUCAUUCUUUCAUACUUUUACUUAUCCUUUCACAUCCUUAUCAUUUUCACUUAUCCCUUCCCAUUCUCAUUUACUUUCCUUUUUCAUUUAGACUUGUACUUGGACUCAAUCACUAGACGCCACCCGUUAUCGGUGUCACACACAAUACACAUCGCACUCAUGUUUCACUUACAAUAUCAACAGCAAUUAGUAGUCAUCUAUCAUCUUAGCAUUCAUUCUUCCUAGCAUCCUAGCUUUAAUCACAAACCACUCGUGGGACUACACAUCCAAGCAUACAAGCAUCAAAUACUAAUCAUUCACCACCACAACAACACAAGACAGUUCAUUAAGUCUCAUUUAACAGUAUGAAGGUUCUUAUGCAUCAUGAUCCAUUCAUCUAUCAACCUAGUACUAACCAGGUUCUAUCAUCCUAGCUCUUCAAACAGGGUCUAAUCAAUCCUAACUCCAACAUAAAGGAGUAUACAGAACAUGAGAACAAGAUGGGUUCAAGACACUCCACUUUAGCCUAGAUCUGGAUCUGGAAACAAGAGACAAGGGAGAGGAGAUUGAGAUCUGGUCACCACCACCACUACACGGCGCCGGCGAGGAGAGAGAGAGAGCGUGCGACGGCGAGGAGAGAGAGAAGAGAGAGAGGCGUGAGAUGAGAAGAGAGAAAAGGAAAAGAGAAGCUUGACGGCUAGGGUUUCCUAGUCUCUCUAAAUCUCUGCAGAGCUUCGCUCAAGUUUCAGAAUGAGAGAAAAGAAGGAUUGCAUCUCUUUUUAUAGGAAAGGGUGAAGGGAACCCUAGGUUUUUGUCAAAUGGGCCGUAGAGAAGCUCAUUCUUUUAUGAAAUUUUUUGGGCCAGGAACCGGGCCGUUACACCUCCUUGAAUGAAAUUAAAUCCUCAAAAGAAGAGAGUUCGAAGUCCUUGGCGUCCCAGAAGACUCAUGUUGUAGCAUCUGCGCGAGGUUCCGCACAAAGGGACAUUAACACAUAAACAGCUAAGAUGCGCAAAAGAAAAACAAGCAGAUCUAAUAGUGACUGCAGGUAAUACACAAAGCUACAUAUCUUACGGAUUCUAUAAUCGGACAUGGUUUCGACGGAGAUCGAUGGAAAUAUUAGACUCUGAGAGAGGGAGUCUUUUAUAACAGAUUUUUAGAUACUUUUUUUGAAACGUUUGUUUUUAAGCUUUAUGUUUUUUUAACUAAAAUAAUUUUGCUUUAACUAUCGUACCCAGUACCCAUAACUAUUUUUUGUCCAUGUGUCUGAAUGGUAAUCAAAAGAAACCAGGGUAAAUAGUGUAUUCUUUUCCAUUCUUUAAAUUUGACUCAAUUUAAGAAAUGUUUUUUCGUCAGAUAUUCCUUCUCAUUCUUUUUAAUUUAGAGAAUUGUAGAAUAAAAACAUUCCUAUAUUUGGUUCAUCUUUAAUCAUUUCUUCUUUGUUUAUAUUAAUCUUUUAACAGUCAUCGGUUAAAACCUAUAUUUAUGAAUUAAUAUAGUAGGAGUAUUUGGCUAGUUAGGAAUGCUCUGAUAUUCGAACUUACUAACAUUUGCCCAGCUGAUAUUGUUUGCAAAGCUUUAAGAUUGGCAAAGGAAUGGAUUGAAGCGCAACCGCUAAAAGCUAUGAGCCCGGCAUAUUCCUACACCCAAAGACAGUCAGCGCCUCACACUAUAGUAUGCUGCACUGAUGCAGCAUGGCGUAUCCAAGAUAAGAUGGCGGGGUGUGGUUGGGUGUUCAAAAACGAGACAGGAAGCAUUAUGGAACAGGGAUUAGGCCUGGGCAAAAUAACCGGAACCGAAGAACCGAAAUAUCUGAAACCGGAACCGGACCAAUAUCCUCAAAUACCUGAGCGGUUCCUAUAUUUUUAUAUCCGAAAUAAUCGAACCGAACCGAGAACCAAACGGAUACCCGAAUAUAUAAAAAUAUUAAUUAUAUAUACAUAUAACAUCACUAAAUAUAUAUUUUUUAUUUAAAAUUCUAUUAAAAGUAUCUGAAAAUAGUUGAGGAUAACUAAAUUAUUAUAAAGUAUCCAAACUACCCGAAACUAUCCGGAUAGUUUUAUCCGAAAUAUCCAAAGUAAUCCGAAAUAUCCAAUUUUUUUAUCUAAAUCAUCCUAAUUAUUUGAUAUUUUACCCAAAAUAACCGAUAUUUUAUCCAAAUUAUCCGAACUACCCGAACUAUCCGAACCCGAACCGGAUCCAAAUGAGAAUCAAACUUUUUCCAGAUAUUUUCCGGUUCCUACAUUUAUUAUCCGAACCGAACCGAACCCAAAACUAUCCGAAACGAACCGAACCGAACCGAAAAUAGGUCAAAUACUAAAUGGAUCCUCUAGCCCCUAUCCGAACUACCCGAAACCCAAAAUACCCGAACCGAUACCCGAAAUGCCCAGGCCUAACAAGAAUCAUACUCUGAACGUUUGUUGUUUCCCAACUUAUGGCAGAGGCGAUAGCUGUCCGGGAGGCUCUGGUGCAUGCCCAGUCUCUCCUCUUCACCAAAAUCUGCAUUCAGUCAGAUAAUCAAGUGCUCAUUAAUGCACUGCUCUCGAAAAAAAGUCCAAUGGAAAUCUACGGAAUCUAUUUGGACAUCAAGUCUCUAUCCUCUGCUUUUAGCUCUAUUCAGUUUUCGUUUAUUCUCAGAACCUUGAACUCCAUUGCUGAUGGUUUGGCUAAAUCAGCUCUUUGUAUCACUCACUCUUUGCCUGUUUAAGGCUUUUAUGAAUUCAUUUGAUUGUUCAAAAAAAAAAAAUAUUAGGACCCAUGGUGUUGUUCUUCUCUAAGACAUUAGGAGUACUUCAUAUAGUGAAUGCAUUUGUAAUAGUGAGAAAUGUUGGGCCAUGCUAUAUGGAAGGAACGCAAUGGCAGAAAGUUUGGGAAAGAUCACAAGCCUGCAUCGGGGCUAAUAAAACUCAUUGAUAAACAGAUUCGAAACUCCAUUUUCAACAUGGAUCAUCGACACAACUCGGCUUACCAAGGGGUCAUGGGAACGUAGUUCUCUUUUAGAUAAUUAAUCUCUGUAAUGUAAAGCUUUUGUUUUUCGUUUCAGACUCAAACAAGCAAUUUCGGUUGUAAACUGUAUUUUUUCGUUGAAUUAAUUUAAUAUUCUUUAAAAGAAAAUGUUUGCCUAAAUUUAUUUUUAUUUUUAGGUUCUGUUUUUAACUUUUUAUAUAUAAAAAGUUGAUGUAAUUUUUUAACUUUAUAUAUACUAGAGAUUUUGUCCGGGCUACGCCCGGAAUUAGACAAAUGUCAAUAAUAUAUUUAAGAUAUAUAAUGCACAUAUAUUACAUCCCUUGAUAUAACCAUAUACUGAAUCAGAAAUGAGUAAAACUGACAAUUUAUCAUUUGUACUAUCUAAAAUACAUAUGGAAAGAUGAGCAAAUGUGUAAUGUGUAAAAAAUAGUUAAUUCUAAGUUACGAUUCAACUAUAUUUUGUCUUAUAUAUUGGGUUAUCAUGAAACUAAAUUAUUAAUCAUAAGUAAAGUCCAUCCAGUCGCGAUAAAAAUUAAUCAUAUGUUUUAUGUACACGUGGUUUAUAUAUUUUAAAUUUUUUUAAUUUGUCAUUUUUACUAUUAUGAGGAUUUUUUUUUAUAAAUAUUUAUUGGUAUUACAAUUUUUAAUAUUUUCCUUUGGUUCAUGUACAUUUAUUUACACUCAUGUGUAUUAACUAUCGUUGGGAGAAACCAAGAAAUCGGACCAUAUAUAUAAGUCGUAAGAAAUUCCAGCUAUGGUUUGGUUACUUGUAUACUAUCGCUUUUUCAAAUAUAUUGAGUUUCAUACUUUAAACUCAAACGCCUAUAAGAUAGCGGACAAAGCUUCGAAGGCUUUCCCUUGUAAACUAAGUUUCACGUUUACAUCCAUUGCUUAAUGGGCCUAAAGAAAUUAAGUCCCAUUAAUUAUUGGGCUUGAAUAAAUUUGAGAUUUCUUAAGUAGUUGGUAAGUUAAAAUAUAAGCGCAUUUCUUAAAGAAGAGGACAUCCGAAGGUAAUGGGAGCUAGUUUGAUGCAUUGUAUAAACUCCAUGUUAUAAUCUGAAUGUAUUCAUGCAUGAAGUAAACCACACCAUUGUUUACCAAGAUGCAAAAGCCCGUAAACAUUCUUUUAAUUAAAAUGCACAUAACUCUGCUCACAGUCGGAGAUAGUUUGCAGUACAUUCAAAAAGUAUAAAGAUGAAAUAUAGGGAAAUAGUUAUUGCACAGAGCUUGUAAUGUGGGGUAGAAAAUCCAAGUGAGAACGACGGUUUGCAAGACUUCCAACUAUCACUUACAUAGCGUUUGCGGCUCUGCUCUUCAUCUUCAAAGUUCGGUUGUGUUGGUUGAUUCACUACUCCAUUGCUUUUGUGGUGUUGGUUUAUUAUGAAUUGCUGACCUUGGUGGUUGGUUGUGACAAAGGUAAGGAUUUCUUCAUGAAUCUCAUGUCUUCUUCUAAACAUGUAAUAAGUAAAGUCAAUUGGGUGGUAAAUGUUUCAGACAGUGCUUAUCAUAUAUCGUUUUGCUUAACAGAGAAGAGAAGGUGGUGAGACAUACCUAUCUCCAGAGUUGCAACCGACGGACCUCCUGCUGCAACAAUAAUUACGUAAGAAAAAGGCUUUUGUCCUUAGAGAGACUCAUCAAAAAGGGGCAAAUAAGAUGUCCUUACAUCAGACUGCUUGAUUUCACACAGGGUGCUGGACAUAUAUUGGUCUUUGAUAGAUAAAUCACAUCCUCGGCACCCAACAGUGAAUACAUGGCCCCUCAUGAUAUGGUGUGGGUUCUGAAAUUACAUAGAAAAAAGCAUUUAGGACAGUUAGAAACAGAAGUAUCGUAGUCAAGAAGUGGAAAAGUAUCAGACAUAACAACAUAGCUCUGUUGGAAAAAUAUAAAAGAACCGAACAUGAAGUGAACUAAACUCGUUGGGCAUGAACUGAAAGACCAAACCUUCACAACAAAAAAUUUAACACGAAGUGCACACUGCUAAACCCUCAAUGUGCAACUUGCAGACACAAAAAAAGUCACAGAGACACAUACAUAACAACAUACUUAUGGGUUAUGCCGGAAAAAAUAUAAAAGAAACGGACAUGCAGACAACUAAACUCGUUGCUCAUGAACUGAAAGACCAAACCUUUACUAAAAAUAUUACACGAACAGCACACUGCUAAACCCUAAAGGCGCAAUUAGCAGACUAUUAGAUCAAACCAAUAAAAAAAACAAUCACUGAUGAAACUUGACCCACCUGAGAAUACUGAGAAAGUAGCUUUGCCCGUGGAGCCUUAGCUAGCUUCUUCCCUGCCUUCGACUUCUCACCAUCCGUCACCACUUCACCUAGAUCCACAAAAACAUUAGAAAUCAUAAUUAAUGAGACAAAAUCGUGAGACAGACUACCAAAACUGCUAUUGUAGGUGUCACCACCACAUCGGCUUCAGGGUUUGUGUCAGCUUCAAGAGAGAUCUCCAUCACAGGCACAUCGGUUAAAACAGGCUUCUCUGCAUCCAUAGCUUACGGAUCAGAGGAUCCAAGCUCCGACUCUCCAGAUUCCGAAUCCAGAAUCUGAAACCGGUCCUUAUUUCUCAACCGGAACCUCGCUCGCCGACAAAGACCCCGCCGGUUCCGCCGCCGCUACCUAAGUUUAAAAAAAAAAAUCGAAAAUCAGAUUUGAAACAAAAAAAAAAAAGAAACUCAGAUUCGGAUAAGAACUAACGUACAGAUUAAAUAGCAGCAUGGAUGUUGACCUUAGAUCGCAUGGUAGGGCGUGGAGAUGAGAAGACACUUCAGGGGAUGAAGAAGAAGAAGAGAAACUCUUGGAAGAUGAAGAGCUACGACUGGUCUCAACCAUGUCUCACAAUUUGUUUUUCAAUCUCGAUCUUGUUCCCGAUAUAGAGAAGGAGAGGAAAGAGACGGAAUCAAAAAUAUCAGAGAGACUUUAUGUAAAUGAGAAGAAAAACAGAACUAAACGUCUCGUCUUCAUCAUCUCCACGUGAUAACCAAACUAGACAUUAAAUCAUAUGUAUUUAAAAUGGGCCACUUCGAUUUUAUAUCAGCCCACAUAAGUGUGGCCCGAUUAUAACUUCAAAGACGGUCUGACGUGGCAAAACGAAGCUUCACUAUUAGUUGAUUUUUUAUACUGACGUGGAUAGCUUUAGAGUGGAGGAUAUUGGCUUUUUAGUAUUGUUAGAUUAGAUAUAGGAUAUUCCAUCAGUGCCUACCCCUAACAUAAAUCAAUUGUCUUUGGUUCAAUGUUCAAACCAUGAUUUGUGAUUAGCCGAAUGGUUGAAAGAACAUACCAUACUGAAAGAACGUCAAAAGGAACAGAAACUAGUAUGAUUAUAACUGAGAAUGCCCAUAACAUCAAAUUAAUACGAUCUCUUGAUACAAACGUAAGUUAGAAAUUACAUCAAGUUAUGAAAUAUAUAUAGGAAGAACAAAAAUAUACAAAAAACAUGCAUCAUAUCAAACCCCAUUCCUCAAUUCACACUCUUUUAUUUCUCUCCAUUCUUAUUUUUUCCAACUAUCCAUAGUAAAUGUGUCCAAAGCAGAUCCAUUUUGCUGAGAGGCUUGUGUUAACUCUGUCUCCUUGCUUCUUUCAUGGUUUAACAGAAAAUAGCAGUAAGGUGAUGCUCCAAAACCGCCAUAAGGCGAGGAGUCUCGCCUACUUCCACAACAGGAACAUCACAUCCUUGGAGCUGUCUCACAGCUUCAACGAGCUGUCCUCUCAGCCUCUGAGACAGCAACCGCCCACCCGCAUUCACACACUCUCUAUACAGCGGCAUGUAUGCAAUCGCUACUCUUAGCGGCGCAGGAAGGUCUCUUAACGAGAUAGCACAUUCUCCUCUCUUCAACACCCUCAUAAAAUUCAUGAAGUCCUCAUGGCUCUCUCUCAUUCCUUUCUCAAAAGCUGAUUCCGACCAAUGCUCUCUGAGAAACGACUUCAGAUCAGAAGGAACGGAUUCAUCAUCUGAUGACCUCGCUAUGCUGUCUGCAACUGAGUAUGUAGCCGUUGGAUCUCCCAAGAAGUCUGAUUUGAGGAGAAACUCCACUCCUUGGAGAGACCCUCCGCUUCUUUCUCCAGCCGCUUUGAGGAUUUCGAUGCUUAGAGCUGUUAAGACAGGUGACGGAACAAAAGGGAGGAGAUAAGCAGCGACCUCUACUUGGCUACUCGAAGUGGCGGCUGUUAGAGCAAGACAAAGCUCCAUGUCGCGACAACCUCUUUUCACAAACCACUGAACAACUUGCAUACAGCCUCUCUCUGCCGCUCUCAUCAGAGGACCUAAGAAGGCAAUGGCGUUGCCUUCUUCCACUAAACACUUCAUUGUCCCGAGUUUACAGUAAUGCGAGGCGAAACCAAGAGCUAAGUCCACAUCCACAUCUAAGCUGUUCCUUUGAGCAAUCUGAAUCAGACAAAACACAGUACUUGAGAACACAAAGAGAUCUUAAAUUCUAAAAGUAGGGGUGCAUUCAGUUACCUAUUUGGGUCUAUUCAGUUUUCGAGGUUAGAGAUUAAAACCCCAUACGAAUGAUUUAUAAACUUCCGUUUGGUCGGUUCAGAUCUUUUGCGGGUUUGGAUAUUUUUUAAAAUUAUGUAAAUAAAAUUUAAAAAUCCCAAAAACCCAAAAUCCAAAAAUAAAAGAUAAUAUAGAAUAUAUAAAUUUGAAAAUAUAUGUUAAAUAUCUAAAAAUAACAUGGAAGUUAGUUUGGUUUAGACAUUUGGAUAGAGAACCAGUAGACAUCUAAUGUAUUUUCCGGUGUUUAUAGUAUUUUGGAUAUUAACUUUAGAUAUUUUCAAGUAUUUUGAAUAAUUCUGGAUAUCUUUUGAGUAUUUUGGAUAUUAGAUUUUAAAAAUAUAAUUUUAAUUCGAAUAUUUUCAGGUACCAUAAUAUUUUAGUUUGGUUCGGGUCGGGUUCUCGGAAUCGGUUCGGUUUUUCAGGCUCGAUAUUUUGACCAGCCCUAUCUAAAAGCAAUAAAAUGAGUGGUAAGCUUACAUGCAACAAGACGCGGACAAGUUCUGUACUACCAAAACGUGAAGCUUCAAGGAAACAUUGAUUCACGUUAUCUGCACCACCUUCAACAAGCAUACCGAGGAGUCCUUGUAUGACGGUAGAUGAUAUUCCAGACGCCCAACCAGGAUCAAACGAGUUGGAAAACAAAGUGAGAGGGAAACAAGCUGCAUCGAAGGCCUCAGUGAAAUCUCUUCCUGAGAGAUGGUUCCCUGCUAGUUCUAGAAACAUCUUGAAAGCAGAAAGCUGUAGUUCAAUCUCAGUAGGUGAACUAUGGCUAACUCUAUCCCUUGCUCUUUGGCAUCUGGAGUGGAAACCUAUACAUUUGAGAGCCCAUUCAGUGAACUUCUGAACUUUUGCACCAGCUUCUGCUUUCAGGAUCUCGUCCCCGUUACACUCUUGGAGACGCUCCUGCAACCUGAAUAUUAGGUAGAAUGAAAACAUAAGACUAGGAUUUAUAUCAUAGUAACUGUACCGAAGUUUUUUAAUUAUGGCAGUUAGUUCGGAUUAUUCGGUUAGGGUAAUUUGGUUUUUGGUUAGUACUGUUCAACCUAAAUCUUAUUGAAUUAAACCGAAAUAAAGUUAUGUUUGGUAUUUGGUUUGGUAUUUGCUACCAAUUUUUUUUUUGGUUAAAUUUUGGUUUAUUUUUGUUAAAAUUUCGGAUAAUUUUGGUUAAUUUAGUUUGGAUCAAAAUUUGGUUAAUUCGGUUCGUGUUUUCGGUAUAGUUUGGAUAUAAUUUUUUUAUUUCAAAGAAAACCGAAGUAACCAAUUGCCGAACCGAACCGAAUUGAACUCUUUUAGAAACCUACUGAAUCAAACCGAACUUCUAACCAUCUAACCGAAAUUUUGGUUCGGUUCAAUUCAAAAUCCCAGGCCUAACCGAGAGACUGCAGGAGCCAACCUGUUAUAAGCAUCAGAAACUAUAACAAUUGAAAGAGAAAGAAACGCAAAUGUACCUUUGAGCCAUUACAGUAACACUAUCAGCAAGACUCAUCGUCCGGCUAUGGCAAGCAGAGACACAUGAAGCUAGAAACGAAGUCCUAAGAGUAGCUCUUGUAAAGUCAUGAGCACCAUGACAUACGAUCUUCUUAAUCAAUCCGGUAAUCCCCUGAAACUCUUGCUUUGUAGUCAAGAACCAAACAGAAUCUAGACCAACGCACAGAAAAUCAUUCAAAGUCAGCGGAUCAGCUAACUGAAUCAACCUCUCUGCACGUUCCCAGUCCAUUGAGGCCACAGCGCCUUGGAAGACUCGCCCCAGUUCGAUUCUUUCCUGUCUACUAAGCUUUUUCUGCUGAGAAUUAUUUUCCUUGUCGAUGAGAUCCUCGCUGGCUUUGAAGUUUAGUUUCUUUGCGCUACAGCCACAGCAUUCGCCUGGACUAGUCCCAGCUGGAUCCUUUCCUAUCAGAGGCGCCUCUCUUGAAAAAACCACAUUACUCGCACCCUCGCCUUCUUCAUUCUUCUCAGAGCAGUAAGGCUCAUCAGGGUAGUAUAUCUCAUCAUCACUUAACUUGAUAUCAUCAAACACUGCUUCUUUCUCCAUUCUUCUUCUUCUCGAGAUGUAUUAUUCACAAGUUCACACACAUGAAGAACCAAACAAAACUUCUCUUCAUCUGUGAACCAGACACAAGAACAAAAAGGUCUCAGCUUUUAUAUGCUCUUCCAGAUUUCUCCAAAAUAUCAAGAUAGCAAAACGUUCGAAAUCUACAGAACCAAAACCAUCACCGAGUCUUGACCAUGGCAUACGAAAUCAACAAGAAGCCCUAGAUUCGAAACAAAUACAUCAUCAGCAAAGAUAUUCGAUUGCGCUCAAUCAGCAGCAAAAGAAAGAACAAAAAACAGAACACUAAAUCGAACAUCCUAUCAGACAAAACCGAAUCUGAGUUUCAGAAGAACAACGUAAUUGAACAUGAAGAGAGACAGAGAAACCUGGACAAGAUUUGUUCCAUUAGAGAGAGAGAGAGAGAGAAAGAGAGGCUGAGAAGAACCCCCUCUUGUGUGCAUCGGGUUCUUGUUUUUUUAUUACACGAAUUAUAUUUUUAAAAUAUAAAAUAUUCUCUCUUUGAAUUAUUUACAUUUGUCGAAUCUUUUGAUUUAUUAAAUAGACUCUAAAUGAUAGAUUCUCUCUUCUUUUCUUUGGUCGCUGUUAAUUUUUCUUUGAAAUCUUAGAAUCUACUCAAUCUAACGUCUUCAAAUCAUAUGAAGACAAAACCGAUUUGAAGUUUUCUUCUUUUUUUUUUCAGUAUUGGUCAGAUUUGAAGCUUAAAUGAGGAUAAUAACUUAAAGUAUUUAAUUAAUAUUUUGGUUUAUAAGAGAUUUGAGAUUCAAACCUGAUAUAUGCAUUGUUGUAUAGUACGUACGGAGUUGAUUAUAACAAUUCAAACAUAUAAGUUGAACCAAAAAAAAAAAUUGAACCGCAUUUUUGGUGUGAAACUUUUGUACUUGUUGAUUAAUAAACGCGUCCCAAUCACUGAUGGUAAACCUAUAACAAAAGUGUAUGAGAAAUGUUCAAUGGAUGGUGAUGUAAUACUAGAUGCUAACAUGGUUUAUUACAAUUAUCCAAGACCCACAAUCAUGUGAAUUAUUAAAGUCUUGUAAUCCAUAUAUAAUGCGUGUAAGGUCACAAAAAUACGGUAUAUACUUUUAUUUAAAACUAUAUUAAGUAUCAACAUCAAUCGAAAAAUGAUUUCCCUUUGAAAAUACUACAAAAUGUUAUCAAGUUGAUUCCAAAUAAUGCUAUCAUUAUUCUUCUGUUAUUAUUAUUGUAAUAUACGAAAACGACUCCUAAGUGGGUUGCUUACGGAAAACACAGACAUACGAAUGUGACGCAGAUGUAACUGCAAAUAUUUUUUUUUGUAUACGAUGCCCCCACUCUUUCUUUAUUUUUGCUUCUUCACCUUUUUAAAAUGAACGCACAUAAUUUUAUUAUUACGCUUUUACCAAGUUUUUUGAAGAUAGUUGUUAGAAACUAGUAUAAUAUUACUUGACCGUUUUUAAUUUCCAUUCCAUAGUUUUUAUUUAUGAAAAAUCAAGUAAAUAGAAAGAUGAAAACAACUAACAUUCUCUAAAGAACACUUUUGAAUUUACUCCAAAGCCCAUACUAAACCAUGUGAUAUAUAUUUUAGAUGGAUUCAAGUCGAUCGAAGCCUUAGUAAAAGAUGGCUAGUGAGAAGAAGCUCAUGAGAUUGUAUAAAUCUUUUAACAAAACUUGUGUUGCAAAAAGAGAAUAGAGAAAGAGGAAUUGGUGUAUAUGAUUAUAUGAGUUGUUUACGUAAGAUUACAAUAGCUUAGACACAAAGGUUUUAGAGUGGGGAACAAGUAUAUCUAUUACUUUCCAUAUAGACAUCACCACAAUAUUCAUAACACUUUCUUUUGAUGUUCAUUAUCUCUUUUUUAUUAAAAAGAGAAACAUUCAUAGAAAUAAACCUUGGCCUCAUGUGUUUAUUACAUGAGUGUCAUUUCCUAUGUGUCAUCACCUCAUGCACUCUCACUAACUUUUUAAAAAAACUCUUUGUGAACUAGAAUAAUUACAACCAAAUGUCAUUGGUCAUAUACAUUAUAAUAUAUGAUUACAAUUUUCAAAAAACGGGGAUUUAUGACAGGCAAAAUAUUAACUCUUUUGUAAAAGGCAACAAAAUAAGUUCGACAUCUAUCAAAUCGUUUUAUGAGAAUUUUUCUUUACGUUAAUUAUAAUGCAACAUUUUAUGAACAUUUUUAAACUAAUAUCAAAUCGUAUUAUAAUGCAACGUUUUAUGAACCUUUUUGAAACCGAGUCAACAUUUUAUAAACAUUUUUAUGCAACAUUUUAUGAACAUUUUUAAACUAAUAUCAAAUUUCUUUAUAAUGCAACUAAAGAAACGGGAAUAAUUUUAUGAACAAUUUUAUGCUUAUUUUAGGAACACGUAUUAUAAUCGAACGUUUUAUGAACAUUUUUGUCAACGUUAAUUAUAAUGCAAUAUUAACUCUUUUGUAAAAGGCAACAUUUUUGUCAACGUUGAAAAAAAAAAUAUACGUUACGGAUAUCAGAUAUAUUUUGGUUAUUUGGUCAAAAUAAAAAGGAAACACAAUUGAAUUUCAAUAUACUCGAUGCAAACUCGAUAUUCCAAAUUAUAACCUACGCUUAAUUGGUCAAAAUAUUAAGGAAACACAAUAAUAUUGUUAACGUAUAAAAGGAAACAAAAUUCAAAGAAUCGAAAUACUUACCUUAAUCGAUAGGGGAAUAUUUCUGAUAUAUUUUUGGCAUGACCAUCACAGAUCUUAUAAUACCUAUUUCACGAAAACCCAUCACGCAAUAACAAAAUUAGGUAAGUGGUAUAUACGGUAUUAAAGGAGGAGUGACCAUCACGUUUGAUUUUGGCGUGACCAUCACGUUUGAUUUUGUGACAGACUAAGUGCAACCGUUUUACAUCAGAUUCGAAAAAAUAAUUCUCAAACAUGUAAUAUAUUGCUUUAAAAAUAUUUAUAACAAAGCUAUGAAGUGAACAAUAUUAAACUAAGAAUUCUUUAAAAUCAAUUUGUUUUUUUUAUAAUUUUUUAAUACUUCAAAGAUCAUGAUCAAAUUAUGCAUAAAUCUAUGCAAUAUUUCGACCAAUCAUAAAACUAUGCAAUAUUUGAAACUACAUAUAUGUUCAAAAUUAUAAAUCUUAGUUAAAAAACAAUUAAAAAUCGACAGUAAUUUAGGAAAAUACAUUAAAUUUCCGUAAACAAUUCAUAAUAUUUGAUUAUGUCUUUCUUCCGAUGAUUAAUUAUCAUUUCCGUAAACAAUGCAUAAUUGAUACAAUCAAAUUAUUAAUUAUCAAAAUCAUCGGAAGAAAAUCAAGGAUUUGGCCAGUUUAGAUUUUACAAACGUAUCAAUCAGAUCUUAAAUUUUGGAGUCAAGUGUGGAAUCAAUUCAUAAUUGAUUUUCUUCCGAUGAUUUUGAAAAUCAAGUCAAUAUUUUUCCCUUGGCCUACAAACAGUUUAAUGCUUAGAUUGACAAGGUUUACUUCCUCAGAUUUCCUUAGUUUAUACGUCCCAAAUUUAAGCUACUUCUAUAUGGUUUGAAUUAAUUCCUUAUUUAUGGUAUAAAUAUUUAUAAUUUAUAAGCUAUAGGGAAUGUGAAUAUUUGGUCAUAUACUACAAACAUAUUAAUGCCAUCGGCUAACUUUAUUUCCUCAAAUUUCCUUAUUUUACAAAUUAAAUUUAUUUGGGAUUACCUAAGAAUAUGGAUACUGAAUAUUCUCUUUCGCCAUAAUGCAAACAUUGUUGUACAAUACUAUUUAUCAAGUUUAUAAUCAAUUCAUAAUCUUCACUAAAUGAAUUUUUAAAACCAUCAAGUAAUUUACCUCAAUUAUAGUCGUUGAGAAACAUGUUUCUAUAUACGAUUCAAGAUCCAAAUUUUGCAUAAUUUGAGAGCUGCGUUUUUUAAAACAACAUGUGAAAAGACCAGUUUUAAAGUAAAUUGUACAGCAAGUAUGGAAAUAUUAAUUAGUAAAUAUUUGCUACUAUAAUUUUGGCUAUUUGUUUUCAUCAUUAAAACUCUAUAUAAAUACGUAGUGUCUGCAACACAACUCAUCGCCACAUCAUUCUUUCUGAAUCAUCAUUAACAAAACCAGAAGUACACCACUGGCGGACUUUAUAGGAUUGUAAACGAAGAGUUUUGAAGAUACUUUUCACAGCAGUCAUAGUUUUCUUAGUUUUUUUAUUUAUUUUGUUUCCUUAUUAUAUAGGAUAUGCUUUCACAUUUUAUUUAAUUUUAUCACCUAUGUUUUGUUUUAUCUUAUAUUCAUAUUUUAUUUUCUGAAAGCAAUAAUUAUAUGGCAUAUAUUUCGUUUUAUCUUUAUUUCAUAAUUAAUUUUAUAUAAGUUUUUGUUUACUCUUAUAGAUUCAUUUUCACGAACUAUACUUCAAUCACACAAAACAAAUAACACAAGUUUUUAAAAACUUUGAAGCUUACUUUAUUUACAUAUCCACAAUUUCGUUGAAUCCCUUAGCAUAAAUAACAUGUAAUAUUUGUGUCUAUGACUUUUACAUUUCUAAUAUCUAUAUAUUCAAACUUAUAAUUUCUUUAAGUUUCCUUACCCCGCGCAGGGCGCGGGUGAUCACCUAGUACCAAAGUGUUUUCAAAACGCCAUAGAUGUUGUCUCGUUAAAAACAUUAUCAGGAAAACCCAAUGGGAAAAACCAAGAUUAAAGGAAAAAGAGUGCAGCGCGCAAUGACUUCCCCUCAUGUUUACAUUCGUCGAGAUCUUUAAGGCGACAUAAUCCGAUUAGACGAACUAACUUCUUGAAAGUAGCAGUGGUUAGCGCAUUGGUGAAUAAGUCAGCGGAAUGUCACUUGAACGAACUUGCAGGACACGAACAUUGCCAUUCUUUUGCAGUGCAUGAGUCUUGAUAUGACUUAUGUUGAUUCUUGCUAGGACUCAUGAUAUCAAAGGAUGAUGAUAGAGUUUCAUCUUUGAAAUGAUAACAUUCCCUUUGGUGUCUAUCAUUUAUGUGUUCUUUGUUGCCUCUCUUUCACAAGAUUUUGUAUCUUUGUCUAUUGCUUCUUUGGCCAAUCAUUUCUUUGUGUACACUUUUUAAUAGAAUUUCUUUUAUGAUCCUCUUUCUCAUUCAUGAUAUCAACUGCUACUUUGCAUGUAUAAAUAUCAUCGACGUCGAUUUGCUUAUUAGUUCCAUUUUGUUUCAUAUAUGACAUAACAUAUUGAGAUCUCUUCAUUGUUUCAGGUACAUGAAUUUCUUUCAGUCAUGUUUAAAGUCUCUUCUGGAGAUCAUUUAAAACUAUAUUGCCUCAUUUUUACCAUUAUCAAUAUAUGCUCCUUUUCAUUUACGGGGAUUUUUAUUUUUGGAACCAAUAUGUUUACCACGCUGUAGACGUGACUAGCAGUUUGAUAUUGUUCUUGUAGAACAUCUAUUCUUAUUGGAACAUUUACAGCUGGUAUAUGUGACUUGAUCACUAUAUUUAUUUGGGGUCAGAAAAUAUAUAUCUGGCAACUGCUUUACUAAGCACUAUGAUUGAAUUAUCUUUUGGACUUGUAUUUGACAUGUUCUUUAGUCUUAUGAUCAAUGAUAACUCAUAUCAACUUAUUUUCUUUUCCAGCUGUUUAUUUUUUUCCUCUUUAUGUUGGAAACACUAAUUCACUGUUAGCAUUUAUGUUUGUAUCGAGCCUUAGAGAUUCAUAUCCAACAUAUAAUUCCAACCACAUUUGAAAACUCAUCUUAAUUAAAAAUCUAUGGUGGAGCAAUUAGAAUGUAUAUCGCACAUCCAACAUUCCUUGAUGGAAAUUGGUUGGUUUCUGAUCCAAUACCAAUGAUGGGGAGAAUCAGUGAUUACUUGUUAGCUUGAUGUGAAUCAGUGUUACUCAAAAUGUUUAACACUUAUCCCAAUGAUUUUUCUAUAGUCGUCGAAGACUUAAAGAAAUGGAUUCACCAAUAUUAUAAAGAUGCAUAGUGGGUGAUCAAUCCAUUGACAUAUCUUUUAUUCAUCCAAUUAUUUUCUUUGGUUGGUGAAAACCGUAUUAUCAUUUUAUCUUGUGAGCAAAUAACAUAUGUGAAAUCAUUCGCAAGAAUCUUCUGGUUCUUCAAUGAAUAUUCACAUAAAUAUUCAUGUAUCUUUUCACAUCAUUACUAAACCCAAAUAGUCUAACUGGUUCAUGUCAAAUAUUUUGUAAACUUCUGGUUUACUAUAUAUUUAUUUUCAUUACACUAAUUUUUAUAUAGUACAAUAUAUAAGAAGCUAUAGAUACUUUUUCUAGAAUACUUAUAUUCCCUGGAGAAAUAUUUUCUUAUUUGAAAUGUAUAUAGCAUUUCGUUUGUUUAUUGGCUCAACAUUAAUGUCUCAAAAUCCCAGAGAUUUAUUUUGAGAAUGAUUCAUCAAUCUUAGUUUUAGUGCAAACAUAAUUUUUUUUUAUGUUUAACUUAUCAUAAAAUGUGAGAUUUUUUAAUUUUUAUAUUACAUUUUAGUAUGAUACUUCGGGACCAAAAUAUCUCCAAGCUUUUAAUAACAACUUGCAUGUUUCUUAAUAACAUUUGUACUUUUGAAUGGUUUUGAACGGGCCGAUUAUAUACAAUGGCUGAAUAUCUGACUGAGUCAUAAGAUUACAUGAAAGAUUUGGUAAUUUUGAUUUGGAAAGAUAUAAUAAUUUGAUAUUCUUAGUGAUUUAACGUAAAGCAUUUACAACAAACACAUCUUAUUAGAAUUUGUGGCUUCUAAAAACCAGUAUUGCCAUUUGGUAACUUCGAAAUUUAAUACAAUGUAUCACUUAUUUUCAUUGUUCUUUGUAUAGAUAUAAUAGAAAGUGCACCCCCGAAAAAGUUUAUUAUAUUUAUUUAAGUUUAAAAUUAAUUGUUUCCUAUAGCUUUAAAUAUACCUCCUCGUCACUCAUCUCCCUCGACGAUUUACGUGUGUACAUCGACCUCUCUCAAUCUCUUUUCGCUGCAAGCCUUACGAGAUCAAGCAUGGAUGAAGAAUACGAGGUUAUUGUUCUUGGAACCGGUCUCAAGGAGUGCAUCCUCAGCGGUCUCCUUUCUGUCGAUGGUGUCAAGGUCCUCAUCCUCUUCCUUCGAUUCACAUUUAGAUUUAUUUUUUCCUUCUCUUACUGCCUUAAUCCGGAUGAACGGAUCAGAUUAAAUCUCCGAUUGUAUGAUUAAUGUGGAUGAGACGUUAUGUUGUUAUUCGAAUGCUUUCAUUUGAUUUUACCACGAUCUGAUCAUUUUAAGCAUUGGUUAUUUUGAUUAAUUUGUCGGUGUGGAUAUCAUGAGUAGGUGCUUCACAUGGACAGGAGUGAUUACUAUGGUGGAGAAUCAACAUCUCUUAACCUCAAUCAGGUUCUUCUUUUUAAGUCUUUAUUAAUGGUUUUGUGGUAGUUUACUUUUAUUCAUCGUUUUUAUUUUUGUGUGCAGCUUUGGAAGAAGUUCAGAGGAGAAGAGAAGGCCCCUGAGCAUUUAGGUGCAAGCAGGGACUACAACGUUGACAUGAUGCCUAAGGUAUUGUUGUUGGUGGCUUUCAUUAUAUUGUAUGCAUUAAAAAUGAAGCACUAAGAAACAAGAUGGUGGGUUAAGGUCUCAAGACAAUGGAGAUACCACUACAAGGGACAAACAUGCAUGGUUGGUUAAGGUCUCAAGACAAUGGAGAUGCCACUACAAGGGACAAGCAUGCAUGGUGGGUUAAGGUCUCAAAACAAUGGAUUAUUAGUUUAUCAUAUCUCAUCUACCAUUUACCAUACUUGUAACCACUAUAUAUAUGAGAUGUUCUCAUAAUCAAAUAAAUCAAGUGAAUAAGAUUAUCCUUCUUUACUCUCUCUCUCUCUCUCUCACUUGUUCUUCACUAUGUUCUUUAAUUUCUAACAUGCAUGCUAACUAAUGAGUCAACCUAACGUUUGUCUUUCAAUGUGAUGGACCAGUUUAUGAUGGGAAAUGGCAAGCUUGUUCGUACCCUUAUUCACACAGACGUUACAAAGUAUUUGUCGUUUAAAGCCGUUGAUGGAAGCUAUGUUUUCGUUAAAGGGAAAGUAAAAGCUUCUCAUUCAUGUAUAGGUUUUGCAUAUAUUUACAAAAUAUAAUUUUGCUGAUAACUCUUUUAACUGUUGAUGAAUAUAUUUGGCUACAGGUUCAAAAGGUGCCUGUGACUCCUAUGGAAGCCAUGAAAUCUAAUCUCAUGGGUAUAUUUGAGAAACGUCGAGCUGGCAAGUUUUUCGGUUAUGUUGAGGAUUACGACGAGAAGGAACCCAAAACACACAACGGAAUGGAUUUGACCAAACUUAAUUACAACUAAGGAACUGAUUGCGUAAGCUCUAUCUAAUAAUACCCUUUAGCUAGCUUUACGUGUGGCUAACCACUUAGAUGGCUGGAAAUUUGGUCUUGAUGACAACACUAUUGAAUUCAUUGGUCACGCGAUUGCACUUCACACCAAUGACCAACAUCUCCAUCAACCUGCCUUGGAUACUGUUAUGAGAAUGAAGGUGAACUUUUUUUGUCAGAUUUGUUUUAACAUCUCUGAAGCUGACAUUUUUGCUUUAAUUGGUUUGGCUAGCUCUAUGCGGAAUCUCUUGCACGUUUCCAAGGAAGCUCUCCAUAUAUUUAUCCUCUCUAUGGGUUGGGAGAACUGCCUCAGGUUUUUCUAUCACUCUAAUCUUUGCCUUGGUUGCCUUAAUCUCCUUCAGUUUUAGAUGAUUAUUUCUUGCUUCUUCUCUGACUUUUCUAUAUAUCUUCUCCUUGUUCAGGCAUUUGCACGGCUUAGUGCUGUCUAUGGUGGCACAUAUAUGUUGAACAAACCUGAUUGCACGGUAAUUUUCUCUUCCUCAUUGUUAUACAACUCAUUGGUUUUUCUUUCUUGUGGCGCAAGUAUCAAUGUAGGGAUGUUGUACUCAUAUAUAUAUAUAUAUAUCAAUAUUAAUUCUUAUGAUAGGUAGAGUUUGACGAGGAAGGUAAGGUUACUGGUGUAACAUCUGAGGGAGAGACCGCCAAAUGCAAAAAGGUUGUGUGUGACCCUUCUUACCUGCCGAACAAGGUAAUUAUAUUGCAGUUCUUAUCAUGUUUAAACCAUCUUUUUAAACUUGUCCUUCUUUUCCUUAGUUAUUUAUAUUAUGAUUGUGGAAUGUAUCAUAAUAUGAAGAGUAAUGACAUUCAAACAGGUUAACAAGAUUGGCAGAGUUGCUAGGGCCAUCGCAAUUAUGAGCCACCCUAUUCCAAACACCAAUGACUCUCACUCAGUACAGGUCAUCAUACCCCAGAAGCAGUUGGCCCGCAAGUCAGACAUGUGAGUUCCNNNNNNNNNNNNNNNNNNNNNNNNNNNNNNNNNNNNNNNNNNNNNNNNNNNNNNNNNNNNNNNNNNNNNNNNNNNNNNNNNNNNNNNNNNNNNNNNNNNNNNNNNNNNNNNNNNNNNNNNNNNNNNNNNNNNNNNNNNNNNNNNNNNNNNNNNNNNNNNNNNNNNNNNNNNNNNNNNNNNNNNNNNNNNNNNNNNNNNNNNNNNNNNNNNNNNNNNNNNNNNNNNNNNNNNNNNNNNNNNNNNNNNNNNNNNNNNNNNNNNNNNNNNNNNNNNNNNNNNNNNNNNNNNNNNNNNNNNNNNNNNNNNNNNNNNNNNNNNNNNNNNNNNNNNNNNNNNNNNNNNNNNNNNNNNNNNNNNNNNNNNNNNNNNNNNNNNNNNNNNNNNNNNNNNNNNNNNNNNNNNNNNNNNNNNNNNNNNNNNNNNNNNNNNNNNNNNNNNNNNNNNNNNNNNNNNNNNNNNNNNNNNNNNNNNNNNNNNNNNNNNNNNNNNNNNNNNNNNNNNNNNNNNNNNNNNNNNNNNNNNNNNNNNNNNNNNNNNNNNNNNNNNNNNNNNNNNNNNNNNNNNNNNNNNNNNNNNNNNNNNNNNNNNNNNNNNNNNAGGAAGUACACACUUGAUCUUUUGAAUGAGGCAGGAAAGCUUGGAGCGAGAGUAGCCAAGACUCCACUAGAAGAUGGGUAUAAGGUGCUGCGUGAGGGGGAGAUUGAAGAUAAGCCUUAUGCUGACGUUAAACACUAUAGAAGAAUGGUAGGAAAGCUGAUAUACCUCACCAUCACCAGGCCUGAUGUAUGCUUUGCAGUUAACCAAGUAAGCCAGAAUAUGCAAGCUCCCAAGAUACACCAUUGGAACAUGGUUGAAAGGAUCCUAAGAUACCUAAGAGAGGCGCCAGGGCAAGGAGUGUGGAUGGGAUGCAACAAAAAUACAGAGAUAGUUGGGUAUUGUGAUGCUGAUUGGGCAGGAGACAGAGUGGAUAGGAGAUCCACUACCGGUUAUUGUACAUUCAUUGGAGGCAAUCUUGUCACUUGGAAGAGCAAGAAACAGAAGAUAGUGUCAUGCUCAAGUGCUGAAGCUGAAUAUAGGGCAAUGAGGAAGCUCACUAGUGAGUUGAUUUGGAUCAGAAACCUACUUCAAGACUUUGGUAUAGAGACAUCAACUCCAAUCACCAUGCAUUGUGAUAAUCAAGCGGCAAUACACAUAGCCUCCAACAAUGUGUUCCAUGAGAGGACUAAACACAUUGAGGUGGAUUGUCAUAAAGUUAGGCAAGCAGUGGAACAAAGGAUCAUCUUACCCUGCUAUACAAGAAGUGAGGAUCAACUAGCUGAUAUCUUCACCAAGGCUGCAAGCACCAAGGUUUGCGAGUUCAUACAUUCCAAGUUAGGACUCGUAGAUUUUUCAUCACACUGAUCCUCUUAGUCAUGAAGUGUUCUACUCUUUUUCCUUGGCUUGGUUUUUAUCCCAUGAGGUUUUUCCAAGCUAAAGGUUUUAAUGAGGGAAUGCUUCAUGGUUUCCAAGCUUGACCAGUUCCUAUGGUCAAGCUUGAGGGGGAGUGUAAAAAUGAAGCAAUAAGAAACAAGAUGGUGGGUUAAGGUCUCAAGACAAUGGAGAUACCACUACAAGGGACAAACAUGCAUGGUUGGUUAAGGUCUCAAGACAAUGGAGAUGCCACUACAAGGGACAAGCAUGCAUGGUGGGUUAAGGUCUCAAAACAAUGGAUUAUUAGUUUAUCAUAUCUCAUCUACCAUUUACCAUACUUGUAACCACUAUAUAUAUGAGAUGUUCUCAUAAUCAAAUAAAUCAAGUGAAUAAGAUUAUCCUUCUUUACUCUCUCUCUCUUUCUCUCUCUUGUUCUUCACUAUGUUCUUUAAUUUCUAACAUGCAUGCUAACUAAUGAGUCAACCUAACGUUUGUCUUUCAAUGUGAUGGACCAGUUUAUGAUGGGAAAUGGCAAGCUUGUUCGUACCCUUAUUCACACAGACGUUACAAAGUAUUUGUCGUUUAAAGCCGUUGAUGGAAGCUAUGUUUUCGUUAAAGGGAAAGUAAAAGCUUCUCAUUCAUGUAUAGGUUUUGCAUAUAUUUACAAAAUAUAAUUUUGCUGAUAACUCUUUUAACUGUUGAUGAAUAUAUUUGGCUACAGGUUCAAAAGGUGCCUGUGACUCCUAUGGAAGCCAUGAAAUCUAAUCUCAUGGGUAUAUUUGAGAAACGUCGAGCUGGCAAGUUUUUCGGUUAUGUUGAGGAUUACGACGAGAAGGAACCCAAAACACACAACGGAAUGGAUUUGACCAAACUUAAUUACAACUAAGGAACUGAUUGCGUAAGCUCUAUCUAAUAAUACCCUUUAGCUAGCUUUACGUGUGGCUAACCACUUAGAUGGCUGGAAAUUUGGUCUUGAUGACAACACUAUUGAAUUCAUUGGUCACGCGAUUGCACUUCACACCAAUGACCAACAUCUCCAUCAACCUGCCUUGGAUACUGUUAUGAGAAUGAAGGUGAACUUUUUUUGUCAGAUUUGUUUUAACAUCUCUGAAGCUGACAUUUUUGCUUUAAUUGGUUUGGCUAGCUCUAUGCGGAAUCUCUUGCACGUUUCCAAGGAAGCUCUCCAUAUAUUUAUCCUCUCUAUGGGUUGGGAGAACUGCCUCAGGUUUUUCUAUCACUCUAAUCUUUGCCUUGGUUGCCUUAAUCUCCUUCAGUUUUAGAUGAUUAUUUCUUGCUUCUUCUCUGACUUUUCUAUAUAUCUUCUCCUUGUUCAGGCAUUUGCACGGCUUAGUGCUGUCUAUGGUGGCACAUAUAUGUUGAACAAACCUGAUUGCACGGUAAUUUUCUCUUCCUCAUUGUUAUACAACUCAUUGGUUUUUCUUUCUUGUGGCGCAAGUAUCAAUGUAGGGAUGUUGUACUCAUAUAUAUAUAUAUAUAUCAAUAUUAAUUCUUAUGAUAGGUAGAGUUUGACGAGGAAGGUAAGGUUACUGGUGUAACAUCUGAGGGAGAGACCGCCAAAUGCAAAAAGGUUGUGUGUGACCCUUCUUACCUGCCGAACAAGGUAAUUAUAUUGCAGUUCUUAUCAUGUUUAAACCAUCUUUUUAAACUUGUCCUUCUUUUCCUUAGUUAUUUAUAUUAUGAUUGUGGAAUGUAUCAUAAUAUGAAGAGUAAUGACAUUCAAACAGGUUAACAAGAUUGGCAGAGUUGCUAGGGCCAUCGCAAUUAUGAGCCACCCUAUUCCAAACACCAAUGACUCUCACUCAGUACAGGUCAUCAUACCCCAGAAGCAGUUGGCCCGCAAGUCAGACAUGUGAGUUCCCUUCUUUUUUAAUGUUCUUACAAUGAUUUGUGGUAAGCUCCAUCUCAGUAUCAAAUUGACAUAUGUCUCUACAUGCUGACAGGUAUGUCUUCUGUUGUUCCUACUCCCACAACGUGGCUCCCAAGGGAAAGUUCAUCGCAUUUGUAUCUACAGAUGCAGAGACUGAUAACCCUCAAACCGAACUAAAGGCUGGAAUUGAUCUUUUGGGUCCUGUUGAUGAGAUAUUCUUCGACAUGUAUGAUAGAUACGAGCCUGUCAACGAGCCCGCUUCGGACAACUGCUUUAUAUCAACGGUGAGCCAUCUUUAGUUUACACCUUAGCCUAUUUUUAGAAUGGGUGGAUUCUAAGUAACUAACCUUUUCCUUGUUGGUCAUUAACAGAGCUAUGAUGCUACAACACACUUCGAGACAACUGUUGCUGAUGUGUUGAACAUGUAUACCUUAAUCACCGGAAAGGUAAAUGUCUGACAUUCGCUACGGAUAUAUGUUAGAUGAGAUGGAGACAAAAGUCUUGAGUUUUCUUGACAUCUUUUAAUAUCAAUUUUGUGUUUUUUUUUCUUCUUCUUAUGUUGCAGCAACUAGACCUAAGCGUUGAUCUGAGUGCAGCGAGUGCUGCAGAGGAAUGAGGAACCUGUGAUCACUCUCUCUAGUUGUUGUUUCCUUCUUUUUCAUUUCUUUUCGUUGGUUUCAAUACAUAAUCAGAUCGAUGCUCAUUUUUUAUUAUGUUGAAUGUUUGGUUAAAAUCUCUUUAAAACCUUAACUUUUUUCAGCUGUUGGUGUCCUCUUUUAUUUAUGGAGGAUAUAGAACGAAGCUAAAUAUGUUUUACCUAUGAUUUAUGGGUAAAUCUCCAAAAUAGCACAUUUCUAAGUUUAUAUCACAAAAAUAGCACUCAAAAACUAAAAUGACCAAAAUAGCAUCUUUCUAAGUUUAUUCUUUGAAAAUUUUAAUGUUUUUAUUUUUCAAAAUUUGAAAUCUUAUUCCCAAAACUUCAUUUCUAAACUCUAAACCCUAAACCCUAAACUCUAAACCCUAAACCCUAAACCCUAAACCCUAAACCCUAAAAUCUAAACCCUAAACCCUAAACUCUAAACCUUAAACCCUAAAUUCUAAACCCUAAACCCUAAACUCUAAACCCUAAACCCUAAACCCUAAAUCGUAAACCCCACCCUUUAACUCUAAAUCCUAAGUUUGUGACUUUUGAUAAAACAUUAAGUGCUAUUUUUGU